This 79171-nucleotide long non-coding RNA is filed under the name Malus domestica (apple). RNAcentral's name for it is "long non-coding RNA (MDOM_LNC005169)". The record is from RNAcentral. Lineage: Eukaryota; Viridiplantae; Streptophyta; Magnoliopsida; Rosales; Rosaceae.
GACACAACCCCCCACCACUACCUCCACCGCCAGUCUACAGCUUCAUAUCUAAGCUAACCUUCUGCGACCCUUUUGAAAAUUUGUAUCAAACAGUUCAGAUUUCAACCUUCAAUGGCGGAUGAGGUGGUUUUGUUGGAUUUCUGGCCCAGCCCGUUUGGGAUGAGGCUGAGGAUCGCUCUGGCUGAGAAGGGCAUCGAGUAUGAGUACAAAGAAGAUGACUUGUGGAACAAGAGCCCAUUGUUGCUGCAGAUGAACCCGGUUCACAAGAAGAUCCCGGUUCUCAUUCACAAUGGAAAACCGGUCUGUGAGUCCCUCAUUGCACUUCAGUACAUUGAUGAGGUUUGGAAUGAUAAGGCUCCACUCUUGCCCUCUGACUCUUACCUCAGAGCCCAGGCCAGGUUCUGGGCUGACUUCGUCGACAAGAAGGUGAUUUUUACUCAUUAAUUUACUUAUUUGUAGGAUUAUUUUUGUUUUGAAUAUGUUUGGUUUGAAACAAUUGAACAAUGUUGUUUUAGAAUUUUAAGAUUAUAAGUGUUUAGGGUGUAUAAUGAUUUUACCACUUAGGAUUUGUAUUAGAAGGGAAAUUAAAUGGAACUGGAUCUCUGUUUAUGUUUUCGGGUUAAGAUUUCAUGUAAUGGUUUCGGGUUUAGGGUUUGAGGUUUAAGGUGUGUGAUGUAUAUUUAGAAAGAUAUAAGCAGAAGAUCUGAACUUGCAGAUACAUGAGAAUGGGAGGAAGUUGUGGACAACCAAAGGAGAAGAAUAUGAUGCAGCAAAGAAAGACUUUCUCGACUGCAUCGGCGUGUUAGAAGGAGAGCUCGGAAACAAGCCCUUCUUUGGCGGGGAGACCCUCGGAUUCGUGGACGUGGCGCUUGUUCCAUUCUAUAGCUGGUUUCUUGUGUAUGAAAAAUUUGGCAACUUCAGUGUUGAGGCAGAGCACCCAAAGUUCAUUGCCUGGGUUAAGAGGUGCAUGGAGAGGAGAGCGUGUCCAAGUCGCUUCCCGAGCAGGAAAAGGUCUACGAUUUCUUCAUGCUUAUAAGGAAAAAGCGUGGGAUUGAGUAGAUAUUGGUGGAAGCCUGGCAAGAAGCUAUUGAUGAUCAGUGUCAUUCCAACUUGUUUAGGUCAUUGGUUUUUCUGUCUUUCAAGAUUCAACUGUUUUCGGUUGUUGAAUUAGAAUAAAAGGGCACUUGACAAGGCUUGCACUGUAUGAGGCACUUUAUUGUGCCUCAGGUCAAUAUGUUUAUUUUGCUUCUGUAGUCAACCUAUCACAGUGUUGUCAACUUGUUAUGCAAGGGAUCUAAAUCUACUUGAUCAAUUUUCUUAUUUUGUAACUACAUAUCGAAUGAUGGAUUAUUGGCUGUCACCAGUUGCAUUUAAUCGUGAGUCUAUCUUUCUUAUCAGGUAACAAAGACUCAUGGUUGUAUGCGGUAGAUUAUACAGUGAAUUUUCUUUUUAUCCAACUUUGAGUCAACAUUGAUAAGUCAUAUGAGAUCAGGUGCAGCAGACACAGCAAAAGAUCUCACCAGAACAUCUCAGACAGAAAAACAAACUGAAAAGAAAAUGAACUAGAAUAACGCAUCCUAACAUUCAUCAUCGAACUUUUAACAUGGUGAUCAGGACAAUCUCAAAUACAUAAAACCUCGUCCGACUCCGCCAUUGUUGACUUGAUGCACAAACUUCUUGCAGAUCAAUUUGCUUCUUGCCAAAUAUUUGACACCUACGUUUCAGUCUCACUUAUAUUGGCCAAUUUUUGUUUCAUAAUCUAUAUUAAGUCAGCCAGUAAUAUUUUCUACAUAAACAUUUUUAUUCCUGUAAUUUGAUUCAUAUUUCAUUUUUGUAUACCUAUAUAAACCUACUUCAUGGGAUCCCUGCGCUAAACCAACUUUGCCUUUUGAAAAUUCAUAGUGCUCUUCAUUAAUUAGAAAGGAGGCAAAAAUACAGCAACGCCCUAAUGAGACCCCCUUCCGAUGUUGAGCCCUAAUGAUACCCCCUUCCGAUGUUGAACCAUCACUCAGACUAGAACACCACAAUGACACCACAAUUACACUUCAAUGAUUUAAAAAACAACCAAAACCUCAUUUUCAAAGAACUCCAUUUACCAACAAGUGACUUACAUUUCAAUUUGAUUUAAACCAAAAUUCUUAAGAUUUUGAACCACCAGUGCAACAAUAACAAUCUGACAACCCCACAACGACACUCCAAUGAUACUCUCCAUUUUAUGAUUUGAACUGGCACAACCACAACAACAAUCUGAUGAUGUCACAAUGACAUUCCAACGAUAUAUACUUCCCUUUUUAUGAUUUUGAACCAACACAACCACAACAACAAUUUGAAGAUGCCAAAACGACACACCCCCAUUUUUUUGAUUUCGAACCACCUCAGCCACAACACUUCAUUCAAGGAACCCUCUCCUUCUACAUUCCCUAACCACCACAACCAAAUUUCAAAUACAAAAAAAAUCAAAUAAUUGAGCUAAAGCAAGAUGAAACAGAGAGGGGAAGAAGAAGAAUGGAUACGGGAGGUGGAGCAAUAAGAAGCUUACCUCCUUUCAUGGUGUUCCAAAUGUUAUUUACCGCUCCAAAUUCAAUUAGUCAAGACGGCGCAAUCGAAAAAUGGAUUUGGGAGUGUUGUUGGGUGUUGGUAGUUUUUUUUUUAUCAAUGAAGAACAUGAUGACCAAUAAAAAGAUAAGUGAAGGGUAGUGUGGACUUUUCAUAUGAAAAUUUGAUCAAAAGAACAAUUUUUAAUAAGUGUGAUAAAAAAUAUAACCAAAUGUCAAAACAUAUCUAUUUUGGCUAAUUGCUGUAUAAUCUUCUGAGGUCAUAAUUGGAUCUAGCCUCCAACAAAACCACUAAACUAAAAGCUAGUGACAGUAACCCAUAAGUAAAUAUUACUAUAAAAGCGACCGAGAGUGAUAAUAAAACUUGGCAAAAUAAAUUUAUAUUGAUAGUGGAGGUUAGAUUUGCUCCAUAUCGAGGCUCCUUAUCGGACUUGGCUUUCUCGUGCUAUUAAUUGUAGACACUUUUGAUAUUGUUGUGGAGUGAUUGUUGUCACUGGCCUUUAAUGAGUCAAGGACCUAUGAGUUGAUUGGUGAAUAAGAUCUAAAAAUGUGUUUUCACUAAUGUAAUAUAAAUAGGUGGUUAUUCUAGCAUUACUCUUCAUAUACAAUUGGAUGAUUCAAAUCUUUUUUGUAACCUUCUUCAUGGCCUGGAAUUAUACAACUGUUUUUUUCCCUAAUAGUUCUUAUUACACCUUUACUUGAUUUGCAUCACUUCCUUUAUGUUAAUAAAAUUAGACGAUUGCACAUGCUUCCUUACGGACCCAAAGACAACAUUUUUUUUUAACCAUUCUAGUUCCGUGUGGUUGAAUGGGAUUACAGGCUUUAGGGUUUUAGGGAUGCAGCACACCCCAAUAUUGCUAAAGGAAUUGUGACUCUAAAAACUACUUAGCCUAGGUGGUGCACAUACCGAAUAGCUAAUAAGUUAACUACGUUCUUCGGUUGAAUGCGGAGUGUGCCAACUCGUCUGUCAAGCUCGGCCGGGGAGUGAAUAAAUGUUGAUGUGACGUUGGGCACUGAUGACUUCUGAAUCUUGCGAUUGCGGCCGAGGAAGGAGCACAUCUCGCCCUUUGGGUUCUAAAGCCUGAAGACAAGGCUGCUAGUUCAGUAGAUUGACGACCGCGAGAUUGGAUCCACCGCAAAAUCACCUUCUUCCUCAAAAAUUGUAUCCAGCAUUUUCGUCAAUGGGCGUUUGCUUAUUGAAAUGAACUGUGAUACUGCAACUUCUGUACGAGUACUCUUGGAGUUUGGCACUUUACCAUUCCUUCCAUUGCAAUGGAGGUAUGGAAUUAUGACAAUGCAGUUCUGGAAAGGGAAAAUUGGGAAGGUAGAGGAAGAUGGAGAGGUUGAAAGAGAAUAUGGUGCAAUGAACAAUUUUCUGGGGUUUUGUAGGGGUUUUAGAGAUUGAAAUUUGGCUGUUAUUUUUGUCUUGACGGCUACAUCUAAGGACAUUUGGUACUUUCCCAAUCCACCUUUAAUAUUCUAACUAAUGAGUCCACGUUCUAAUUAAAUUAGUUUAGUCUAUGAAGAAAGAAAUUCGAACUUUGAUGCACAAGAACUAACGAGCUGGUCUAACUCACAACUGCACUAUAAGAAUUGUCGAUAACAAUAUCAUUUUAUUUUUUAGCUUUCAUUUUUACGUUAAGGGUAAAGAGAAAACAUUAGAUAAAGGAGAUAUGGUGGUGAGAUGAGGAGGGGAAAUGAAGAACAAUGCAUGAAACCAACUUUGCCUAUCGAAAAUUCAUAGUGCUCUUCAUUAAUAAGAAAGGAGGCAAAAAUACAACUUUGCCCUUCGGUGUAUAGUUGACUUCAUUUUUAUUUUUUAUCAUUUUUACUUCUUCUUUAUAUACAAUUUUGGAUAAUGCAUGCAUGCGUGCCUAGGUUUCUGAUUUUUUUUUAUAUUACCUAGGGGUUUACAUAUUAUAUGCUCGCGUGAAGAUACUGUAGACAUCGAAAUUUCGAUAAAUAAAUGUUGACCGAUAAAUCAAAGUGUCAACGCUCGUGUAUUACAUAAAUUUUACACGUAGCGUGUGACUCAACGAAAAUUGAAAUGAGUUGGAAAAAGUCAUCAAAUAGAACACGUGUCAACACCUGGCAGAAACGACUUAUUUCAUCUGGGAUAUUAUAUUCAAAAUUAAGCCUUGGAAAAUUCUAUAAAUACAAGCCCAUUUCAUUCAUUUGGAGGGGGAACCAAAAUCAUUAGGCAAAAUUCUUGAAGCUCUGAAGCUCUGAAACUCCGAAGCUCUCAAGCAUCCAGGUUCCCGAAGAAUCAAGAAAGUGUUCUUCGUUCUUCGUUCUUCGUUCUUCCAAGAUCAAGCCCCAACGGCCCUUUGGAUCAACAAUCAUCCACCAAUUCAAGAUCAAGCCCCGACGGCCCUUGAAGAAAGUGUUAUUCGUUAUUCGUUCAUCGUUCUUCCAAGAUCAAGCCCCAACGGCCUUUUGGAUCAACAAUCGUCCACCCAUUCAAGAUCAAGCCCCGACGACCCUUGAAGAAAGUGUUCUUCGUUCCUCGUUCAUCGUUCUUCCAAAAUCAAGCCCCGACGACCCUUAGAUCAACCAUCCAUCAAUUCAAGAUCAAGCCCCAAAGGCCCUUGAAGAACUUCCACCAAUUCAAGAUCAAGCCCCGACAGCCCUUGAAGAAAGCACCAUCGUUCAUCAUCCGUUCAUCCAAGAUCAAGCCCCAACGGCCCUUUGGAUCAACAACGUCAACAAAUCCACACAUCUAACCGUUCUUCAAGAUCAAGCCCAAAAGCCCUUGAAGAUCCGUUCAUCACUGUUCUUCAAGAUCAAGCCCAAAAGCCCUUGAAGAUCCGUUCAUCGCCAUUAUUCAAGAUCAAGCCCAAAAGCCCUUGAAGAUCCGUUCAUCACCAUUAUUCAAGAUCAAGCCUCAACGGCCCUUGAAGAAACACUCAUCCUUAAGAUCAAGCCCCAACGGCUCCUUGAAGAUCCGCUCAAAUCCACCUUCAAAGAUCAAGCCCACGGUCCCUUGAAGAAACUUCCAACAGUUCAUCCAAGAUCAAGCCUCGACGACCCUUGGAUCAACGAAACAUCCACAAAUCAAUACCUUACGGAAAUCGAAUCAGAUGAUCAAGAUAAAAAGAUUGUAACCUUACAAAUCCAUUAACACCAAAAUCUUUCUUUGCACACGUUGUUCUUGUCUCUUUCGUUUCAGGAAUUUUCCGUGUUCACAAAUUGGCACACCCGGUGGGAUAAUCUCUACCUCUCAUCUCUUUCUCCGUUCAAGAAAUUCGAGCACACUUCCAAAAUUAAUGGCAUCAAGGAAGGUUCAAACUGUUCCCGCAACUGGCGUAAAGAACAAGAGCGUCAUCGUCGCAAGUGGUGUCAUUUUAGGCAUCACGACUCGAAGCAAGGCAAGAGCUACUUCUGCCGCCUCUUUCACCUCUGCAUCAACUAUGCCAAGGGAAUAAGAGCACCCAAGGCACGAGCCUUUGAUCACCUUAGCCUCACCAAGGGCACCAAGGAGCGAAAGUCCAAGGAAAUACUCCGAAUCCAUACUCUCCGAUGCCGAUUCGAGCGGCAGUUCAGCCAUGCAAGUCAUGACCAUUGGAGCAACUUCAAUCGAUGAGUAGCUGGCUCAAAUGAAUGAAGCAAUCGCAAGGCUAACCCGAACUGUGGAAGAAAAAGACUUGCAAAUCGCUGCACUCGUCAGCCGACUGGAGCCACAGGCGGCGAGAACCCUAACCCAGAAGAUGAGCCUACGGUGGAGAGAAUCGAUGCGAAGCCGGAGCCAGACCAAGCAGCGGCACUCAUGGGAUCUCUUUCUAUCCAGCAGUUGCAAGAGAUGAUCACCAACACCAUCAAGGCACAGUACGAAGGGAGCUCAAAUACCUCCGGGUUGUACUCAAAGCCUUAUUCAAAGAAGAUUGAUGCCCUAAAGAUACCGAGGGGAUAUCAACCACCAAAGUUCAUGCAGUUUGAUGGAAAAGGAAACCCAAAGCAGCAUGUUGCACAUUUUGUCGAAACUUGCAACAACGCGGGGACUGAGGUAGACUACCUCGCCAAGCAGUUUGUGCGCUCGCUAAAAGGAAACGCCUUUGAGUGGUACACGGACCUAGAGCCUGAGUCUAUCAACAGCUGGGAACAGUUGGAAAGGGAAUUCCUCAACCGCUUCUACAGCACCCGCCGCACUGUGAGCAUGCUAGAGCUAACGAGCACAAAGCAGUGGAAUGACGAGCCAGUCAUUGACUACAUCAACAGAUGGCGCACUCUAAGCCUCGACUGUAAAGACAGGCUCUCGGAAACUUCUUCAAUCGAGAUGUGUAUCCAAGGCAUGCAAUGGGGUUUGCAAUACAUCCUUCAAGGCAUCAAACCACGGACCUUCGAGGAAUUGGCCACUCGCGCCCAUGACAUGGAGUUGAGCAUCGCCCAUCAUGGGAAGAAGGAACCGAUCACCGACUACAAGAACGACAAAGUUCUUGAGACAAAGGUAGAGAAGGCUGCGUGGAAAUCCACUAAAGAAGCGAUGACGGUCAACACAUCUCCCGUCAAAAUCUCCACACGAGGCAAGGCGAUUCAAACCGAAGCUUUUCGUGAUCAAGAGAUGCGUAGACGCACUUUGAAGGAGCUUGAGGAGAAGACUUAUCCGUUCCCCGACUCUGAUGUGGUUGCCAUGCUGGAUGACCUGUUGGACAAGAAGGUGAUCAGUUUGCCUGAGUGCAGACGGCCGGAAGAGAUGAAUCGUACCGACAGCCCAAGAUACUGUAAAUUCCACCGCUUCAUCAGCCAUCCAACGGAAAAGUGCUUCGUACUGAAAGUGCUUCAUACUGAAAGAUCUCAUCCUGAAGCUGGCACAACAAGGGAAAAUCGAGCUUGACCUCGAAGACACGGUUGCGGCACACACUACUACUAUCGUGUUUGGAUCACUUGAUCAUAUGCCUUUCCGAAGCAUGCAUGACCAUUCCCGUCAAUGUUCAAGUCAUAAGGCACCUCCUACACAACCAUCACCGGGGGCAAGCAACCAAGAUGCAGCUACUGGUGAUAAGAAAGAGUGGACAUCGGCGACCUACAAAAAAACGAGGAAGCCAAGACCACAAGCCACAAGACCAAAAGAAGAGCCUAAACCCGCCCCUCGAACUUCAGUCUUCGAAAGGCUGAAUUAUUCAAAACCUAGAAUUUCGGCACUUGAUGACAUUAGUGGUCAAGACCAAACUUCCGUCUUCAAAAGGCUUGAGACGCCAACACCGCAAAGAUCUGUCUUUGAAAGGUUAUCAAAACCCAAGAAACAAAGCGGCACAGCUAGAUUUCCUCCACAACGGUCGGCUUUGGACAGACUUGAAGAAACUAAGAAGCCUUCUAGAAACAGGAAGACAACGCCAAAGGGAGAAAAGCUCGACAGUCUAGCAAGAAAAGACGAUGUUCAAAGUUUGAUUCCUUCAAGGAUGAAGCGCCAAGCAACUUUGGAAGUCGACACAAAAGGACCACUGAAGGUAAGGAGGCGCACCAUCAUCUACACUGGCCAACCUUCACGGCAACAAACCCAAGAGGACCGCACUGAAGAGGAGGCCCAAGAAGACAAAGAAGACGAAAUCCUGGAAGAAGACCUCACUUCCGGCUCUGUCAACUCAAAAUCUUCACCUCAAUCGCUGGGGGCAUGCUCCAAAAACAUGCCAGUCAAGCCGAGUGAAGUUAAAGGAUGGACUUAUGUCACUCAUGUUCACCUCCAAAACAUGCCAGUCAAGACUUCACAUUUUUUAUUGUUUUAGUGAUUUCGAUGACAUCGAUAAUUAUUUAAUCUUGCGUUUGCUGCAUUAUUUAAACUUCUAUAUUCAUAUUCAUCUUUUAGGGUUCAUAUUAAUCUUGCGUACCUAGUAACAUGAGUCGUAUUAGCGCUAGAGUCAUAUACUACUUUUACAAAUUGAGGAUAGCCAUUCUCCACAUGAACUCCUACUCUCAAUCUUUAGCCGUUUAAUUGACGUAUGUUUCUCAUUGCAAGUUUUUCUUUCUUUUUUCUUCUUCUUUCCUUGUCAUUGGGAGAUGAUCAGUGGAAAAUGAGGAGAGACAUGGCCUGUAUUAAAGAAAUCCGAGACCAAUUUAGUUUUGAUUUAUUAAUUAACUUCUACACCUAGAUCAUUAACAGAGAUAGGGUCUUUAUUUAUUUUGUUCAAGACUAAGUCUAAAGACUUGUGAAAUAUAUAUAGAAGCAUUAUUUGUUAGCAGUAACGAGAGUGUCUUUUUUUUUUUUUUUUUUUUUUUUUUUUACUCGGAAAGACUUAGCACCACGGGUCAUUUUUUUAAGGCUUUUUAGAAGUUGAAUAAGAUGAUUUCAAACUAUACUAAGAUGAUUUCAAAUCAUCAUUUUGAAAUCAUUCGGCAACUACUAAACGUUCAGAUGAUUUGAAAUAUUUCGACAAAUUAAACGUUCAAAUGGUUAUAUUCAAUCCCUGAAAAUUAAAAAUGAGUGUUAUAAGAUUUGAGAAAUGGGGGGUGUAAAGAAAAUGUGGGGUGUAUGUACAAAAUAUAAGAUGUAUAUUGAGAAUGCAGGGUGUGGGGUAUUAUGGGAAAGUAUGUGGGGUGUAUGAAGAUAAUUUUUAAGUGGAAAAGCAAAUAUAGGGUGUAUUAAGUAUGUGAGGUUUAUUCAACAAUUUGUGGGAUGUUAAUAUAAUUAGCUAAACUGAAAACCAAAAAAAUAAAAACUCAAAAAAGUAGUUUUUAGUUUCAAAUUUUUGCAAACUUAAUAUUGAUAAUAGUUACCAAACAAAAUUUUAAUUUUUUAGAAGAAAAAAAAAACCUAAAAAUGCAAUGAUUAUCAAAAUGAGUUAGUUAAACCAAUGAGCGAUUGUGGACAAAAUUGGGCUGGACUGGAACUAGGCUUUACAUAUUUGAAAUAGGAGUGGACCCAAGACUUACAUAUUUUAAACAGAACCUAAUGGCCCGACCCAUUUAACUCUUAGGGCCAGAGGUAUAGGGCCAAGUACGACUUGGGCAGCUAUACCUUGGGCUCUUGUUGGCCUUCCCGAUCCAAUCUACAGGCCUACUAGAAACUACGGGUCCAACUCACUGUGGGUAUCAAAGUUGGUUGAAGGCCUUUUCAGUAUCUAACUUAUAGAUUAUUUUCUAGGGAGUUUUAACGAAAAGCCCACAGUAUUGUUUAUUUUAACGAAAAACCACAUUUUUAUACUAAAAAGUCAAACUUGAUACUAUUCACUUUACUCUUUAUUUUGUCCUUAUCAUUAAAACUCAAAAUUUUCAAACUUUUUUCAUUAGUUUUCCUUAUGUUCUAUUACAUUUUUUUACAAGGGAUAUUGAAGGACAUGAGCUGGCUUCAACUAUAAAUCCCUUCUUGUUACAAAGUUGAAUUCUUGACCAGUUAAAAGAAGGAAGAAAAGUAGAAGGAUUUUGUUCAUGCCACUUUACAGCAGUAGCGGAAAUCAUUAAAUCUUACGUUUCACGAGUUUAGUUUGAUCACACCAAUUUUUUAUUUUAAAAUUUAACAAUUUAAUUUACUGAACACUACAUUUAGUCAAAACCCAAAAGAAAAUUAUGAGAAUUUCAGGAUUUUAAUGUCGUAAGCAGUUACAUAAUCAGAUCCAAAUCGAACGAUCUCGAAUGUAUCCAAAAAAGAAGAAAAAUAGAAUAUCUCCAUUCCUGCAGUGUAGUUUUUCACUUCAACUUUUGUCUAUAAAUAGACACAACCCCCCACCACGACCUCCACCGCCAGUCCACGGCUUCAUAUCUAAGCUAACCUUCUGCGACCCUUUUGCAAACUUGUAUCAAACUGUUCAGAUUUCAACCUUCAAUGGCGGAUAAGGUGGUUUUGUUGGAUUUCUGGCCCAGCCUCUUUGGGAUGAGGCUGAGGAUCGCUCUGGCUGAGAAGGGCAUCGAGUAUGAGUACAAGGAAGAGGACUUGUCGAACAAGAGCCCACUGUUGCUGCAGAUGAACCCGGUUCACAAGAAGAUCCCGGUUCUUAUUCACAAUGGAAAACCGGUCUCUGAGUCCCUUAUUGCGCUUCAGUACAUUGAUGAGGUUUGGAAUGAUAAGGCUCCACUCUUGCCCUCUGACUCUUACCUCAGAGCCCAGGCCAGGUUCUGGGCUGACUUCGUCGACAAGAAGGUGAUUUUUACUCAUUAAUUUACUUAUUUGUAGGAUUAUUUUUGUUUUGAAUAUGUUUGGUUUGAAACAAUUGAACAAUGUUGUUUUAGAAUUUUAAGAUUAUAAGUGUUUAGGGUGUAUAAUUAUUUUACCACUUGGGAUUUGUAUUAGAAGGGAAAUUAAAUGGAACUGGAUCUCUGUUUCUGUUUUCGGGUUAAGAUUUCAUGUAAUGGUUCCGGUUUUAGGGUUUAGGGUUUAAGGUUUAAGGUUUGUGAUGUAUAUUUAGAAAGAUAAAAGCAGAAGAUCUGAACUUGCCCAAAACAAUGUAUAUUAAUUUCCCCGAAAUUUGGGAUGUGAAAUGCAGAUAUUCGAGAAUCGGAAGAAGUUGAGGACAACCAAAGGAGAAGAAUAUGAUGCAGCAAAAGAAGACUUUCUCGACUGCAUCGGCGUGUUAGAAGGAGAGCUCGGAGACAAGCCCUUCUUUGGCGGGGAGACCCUCGGAUUCGUGGACGUGGCGCUUGUUCCAUUGUAUAGCUGGUUUCUUGUGUAUGAAAAAGCUGGCAACUUCAGUGUUGAGGCAGAGCACCCAAAGUUUAUUGCCUGGGCUAAGAGGUGCAUGGAGAAGGAGAGCGUGUCCAAGUCGCUUCCCGAGCAGGAAAAGGUCUACGAUUUCUUCAUGCUUACAAGGAAAAAGCGUGGGAUUGAGUAGAUAUUGGUGGAAGCCUGGCAAGAAGCUAUUGAUGAUCGGUGUCAUUCCAACUUGUUAGGUCAUUUGGUUUUUCUGUCUUUCAAGAUUCAACUGUUUUCGGUUGUUGAAUUAGAAUAAAAGGGCACUUGACAGGGCUUGCACUGUAUGAGGCACUUUAUUGUGCCUCAGGUCAAUAUGUUUAUUUUGCUUCUGUAGUCAACCUAUCACACUGUUGUCAACUUGUUAUGUAAGGGAUCUAAAUCUACUUGAUCAAAUUUCUUAUUUUGUAACUACUUCAUAUCGAACAACGGAUUAUUGGCUUUCACCAGUUGCAUUUAAACGUGAGUCUCUUUCUAGCAGGAGACAAAGACUCAUGGUUGAAUGCAAUCGAUUAUACGAUGAAUUUUCUCCUUAUCCAACUUUGAGUUAACAUUUUUCAGUCGUAUGAGAUCAUGUGCGGUACACACAGCAAAGAUCUUACCUGAACAUGUCGACAGAAAAACAAACUGAAAAGAAUAUGAAGGCAUCCUAACAUUCAUCCAAGGAUUUUCUAACAUGGUGAUCAGUGUGAUAAUACACCAGUAGCUAGCCGCGGAGUCAUGUAGAAGGCUGGUCGGAACUCAGGCCGGCCUAAUUUUAUUUGUGAUAGUCCUCUCCACGCAAUGAUCUUUGGGCACUCUAUUUGCACAAAUUUCCACAGGUCUCAAAUACAUAAAACCUCGUCCGACUCCGCCAUUGUUGACUUGAUGCACAAACUUCUUGUAGAUCAAUUUGCUUCUCGCCAAUAUCUGACACCUGCGUUUCAGUCUCACUUAUAUUGCCCAAUUCUUGUUUUAUUCAUGUAAUUGGAUUCAUAUUUCAUUUUUGUCGAUAAAGUGCACACAUGGUCAACAAGUGAUUUGUUCAAACCUAUAUGAACCUACUUCAUGGGAUCCCGUGCACUUAACCAACUUUGCCUGUUGAAAAUUCAUAGUGCUCUUCAUUAAUCAGAAGGGAGGCAAAAAUACAGCGAUGCUCUAAUGAAACCCCCUUCUGCUGUUGAACCAUCACUCCGACUAGAACACCACAAUGACGCCACAAUUACACUUCAAUGAUUUUAAAAACAACCAAAACCUCAUUUUCAAAGACCCACAUUUAACAACAAGGGACUUACAUUUCAAUUUGAUUUAAACCAAAAUUCUUAGGAUUUUGAACCAACGGUGCAACAAUAACAAUUUGAGGACCCCACAACGACACUCCAAUGAUACUCCCCAUAUUAUGAUUUGAACUAGCACAACCAUAACAACAAUCUGAUGACGCCACAAUGACACUCCAACGAUAUAUACUUCCCUUUUUAUGAUUUUGAACUAACAGAGUCACAACAACAAUUUGAUGAUGCCACAACUACACACCCCCAUUUUUUGAUUUCGAACCACCUCAGCCACAACACUCAUUCAAGGAACCCUCUCCUUCUUCAUUGCCUAACCACCACAACCAAAUUUCAAAUACAAAAAAAAUCAAAUAAUUGAGCUAGAGCAAGAUGAAACAGAGAGGGGAAGAAGAAGAAUGGAUAUGGGAGGUGGAGCAAUAAGAAGCUUACCUCCCUUCAUGGUAUUCCAAAUGUUAUUUACCACUCCAAAUGUGAUUAGUCAAGACGGCGCAAUCGAAAAAUGAAUUUGAGAGUGUUGUUGGGUGUUGGUGGUUUUUCUAUGGGUAAAUUACAUUUUAUCUCCUCAAGUUUGAGGUUGAUUGUAACCUUAUAACAUCUUUAAAACAUUUUAAUUCAUACAUUUACUUAUCAUUUUAUUUCAAUUUCAUAAAUCCGUUAGAAAAUUCGUUAAAUAAACCGUUAAGUGAUGACAUGGAAAAUAUUAGAUCCAUAUUUGUGCUGAUGUGGUUACUAAAUUUGUGUCACGUAGUAAAAAAUAAUAAUUUUUCUACGCGUUUCAAAAUAAUAAUUUAAUCAGAAUAUUAAAUACUAAAAUAAUUAAUUAAAGAAAAGUUUGAAAAAAAACAAAAGAAACCUAAAACCCAUAUCGUCCCCUUCCCCAUCCGCAGCCUCAUUCCCCACCGAUUCUCCCACCACCACCCACUUGCCCACCCGAGCCACCCCUUCUCCCGUCACCAACCCCGUCCCCCAUCACUUCCGCACGAAGCUUCUCCCUCCAGCACCACCAUCAUCCCCCAUCACCCAUCACCACCCCCUUCCCCAUCACUUCCGCAACACGCUUUUCCCUCCAGCACCACCACCAUCCCCCAUCACUCAUCACCACCCCCUUCCCCAUCACUUCCACACCACGCUUUUCCCUCCAGCAGCACCACCACCAUCCCACAUCACCACCCCCUUCCCCAUCACUUCCGCACCAAGCUUCUCCCUACAGCACCACCACCAUCAAUUUCCUCAUCCCAAAGCCCCGAGCAACCCAGAGACCCCUAAUUUUUCCCCCACCUUCAUCACCACCUCAAACCCUUGCCUUGAUUUCUUCUUCCAAGUGGUGCUCUUCAUCCCCUUCUCAUGGAAGGAAGAUCCAAAUCUGCUGGGAAAACCUGUUUUUCGAAUUCGAACCCCGAGAUUUGUUGCACAAGGACAAGAAAUCGUCUUCGGUGUGGAAUCUCCGCCUAUGACUCCGACGUCGAUUGGUGGCUCCUCGGAAUCUCCAAAUUCGCAAACCUUGCCGCCUCGGCUGGGCUCAGCAAACUUCCCCCCGAAUUCUCCAGCGGGCUGUCGAAAUUAAACUUCGCGGCGACUGCGACAAGGCCAAAACUGCGAAAACGAAUCCCAGCGAAUGCUCUGCACGCAAUCUUCUGGCGGUUUUAGCGACUCCACCUCCGUCGCGAAAGCUCUGCACGCCAAACUCGCCAGUUCAACCCGAGACCGGGCAAUCUGCACAGGAUUUUUGGGUAAAUGUUUUAACGGCACAUUUAUUUUAUUAUUAUUAUUUUUUGUUUGGGUUUCCAGAUGCCCACCCUCGACGGCGGCCAAGAAAUUGUGGAGGGAGUGGUAUCCGGCUGCUCGGCUUGUUUUAAGAUUUGCUGGAGAAGAGGAGUGGGCCCCUUUGUAUUUUGUUUUAAUUUAUUUUUGUACUUAUUUUUUAUUUUAUUUUCCACGUUAUCACUUAACAAAUUUUUUAACUGAUGUAUUAUAUUGAAAUAAAAAUGAUAAGUAAAUGUAUAAAAUUGAAAUGUUUUAAUGAUGUUAUAUGAUGUUGUAAUCAACCUAAACCUAAGAGGAUAAAAUAUAAUUUACCUUUUUUUUAUCAAUGACCAAUAAAAAGAUAAAUGAAGGGCAGUGUGGACAUUUCACAUCAAAAGUUGAUCAAAAGAACAAUUUUUAAUAAGUGUGAUAAAAAAAUACAACCAAAUGUCAAAACAUGUCUAUUUUGGCUAAUAACCCUAUAAUCUUCUAAGGUCAUAAUUGGAUCUAGCUUCCAACAAAACCACUAAACUAAAAGCUAGUGACAGUAACUCAUAAGUAAAUAUUAUUAUAAAAGCGACCAAGAGUGAUAAUAAAACUUGUCAAAAUAAAUUUAUAUUGAUAGUUGAGGUCAAAUUUGCUCCAUAUCGAAGGUCCUUAUCGAACUUGGCUUUCUCAUGCUAUUAAUUGUAGACACUUUCAAUAUUACUGUGGUGUGAUUGUUGUCACUGGCCUAUGAUGAGUCGGAGACUUAUGAGUUGAUUGGUGAAUAAGAUCUAAAAUAUGUUUUCACUAAUAUAAUAUAAAUAGGUGGUUAUUCUAGCAUUACUCUUUAUAUACAAUUGGAUGAUUCAAAUCUUUUUUGUAACCUUCUUCAUGGCCUGGAAUUAUACAACUGUUUUUUUCCCUAAUAGUUCUUAUUACACCUUUACUUGAUUUGCAUCACUUCCUUUAUGUUAAUAAAAUUAGACGAUUGCACAUGCUUCCUUACGGACACCAAAGACAACAUUUUUUUUUUAAAAACUAUUGUAGUUCCGUGUGGUUGAAUGGAUUACAGGCUUUAGGGUUUCAGGGAUGUAGCACACCCCAACUUCAUGGCACAAUCGACGUAAAAAUAUUCUGAAAAUUGCAUAUAACACAUCCACGCCAAAACAAACCUGGGGCAUUAUGUACUGAUUCCAACUUCCGAUCGUAUUUUUCGUCUCCAUCCUCCUGCAAAAAGUGAAAUCUCGUUGUAAAAAUUAAUGUAAUUAUAGUAAUCUACAUAAAACUAAGAACUAAAUAAGAUAUUAAGGUCUCGUUUAUGUACUAAUUAUUUCAAUCGAAUAAGAUAAUCUGUCAUCGAACUGUACUAACUAAAUUAGUCGAACGUUUGGUGCAUUAUCGUAGUAAUGACCGUAUUAUUUAUAAUGUGUUUGGUACCGUACUGGAUGAGAGAUCGGAUUAUAUUAUUUUUACUAAAAAAAUUUGAUGACUAAUGAAAAAAAAAUUCACAACCAAAUGCAUCAAAUUUAAAAACAAAAUAAAAAUAAUUUUGCUUGUCACUUCGAUAUUGCAUUUUCUAUUUGUCCUUUAUUUAGAGCAAGUCCACCCCUAAAGACUUUGCGUCAGCACUCAGCGCAUUUAUCCACUCAAGUGAGAUUCCAGGGAACAGUAAUAGGCCAAAGUAUCUCCACGCCUAAAAAAAUAGCCUAGUCAAUUUAUUAAAAUAUUAUUAUUUUUAUUAUAAAAUAAUAAAAACUAAUAAUUUUAUUUUUAAUUUUUUGACUUUAUAAAAAAAUAAAUAUUAUUAUUAUUAUUAAAAUACUUUUAUUUUCUCAUCUUCCACACUUCCCUUCCCUUCCAUUCCUGCACGCCAUCCACCUUAACAUAGAUAAUCCAUUCCCACCGCCGCCUCCAAACCUCCUCCUCUCAUCCUCCAACACCGUUGCCCUCCUGUCUUUCAAGUCCCAAGCCGACCUCAACAACAAGCUCCUCUACCUCUCCUGCAUCUCCACACCUCUUGUCCUUCAACACCGUCGCUUCAUCCGCCUGCAUCUCCACACCUCCGAUGUCGUCGCUUUGUCCUCUCGUCCUUUUCCCUCCAUGGCUCCUUCCGUCCCGACACCCUCUCUCGCCUCGACCAGCUCCGCUCCUCAGCCUCCACAACAACUCCCUCUUUGGCGCAAAAAAAAAAAAAAAAAAAAAACUGACGUCAUAUGCCCUCCGACGCCACGCUGACGUCAGAUGGACCUGUCCCAAUGUCUGUCAAUUUUGGGCUGGCAUGGAGACUAGCUUGGGCUGGGUGCCAGUCAAUGGAAUGGAUUGGCUAAGUGUUAGCCUUGUUUUUUGGCUGAGUGCCGACCUAACCACCUCCCGGUGGAACUGCUCUUAGGAGGCAGAUUCUCUGACCUCCCACUUUCCUUGUCCUUCGUGCCCUUCUGUUUUGUGUGGUCACGGUUAAAUCACAUUAACAUUUUAUAUUAUUUUUUUAUAGAGAUAAUAAGACAAAAAAGAAUAGUAAUAUAAAAUAUUGACGUGACUUAACCAUGACCACACAAAUAGAAGGGCACGAGUCCCUUUAUUUAAACCAAAUUAUAAAAAAUAAAAAAUCUUCCCCAUAUCUUCUCCAUCGCACCGCCCCCAGACACCCUUAGUACCUUCUCCUUACCAGUUCAAGCAAAUCUUCCCCCUCAAUACAUCUGAAACAAAUCCCAAAUUACCCAGAAAUAAGGAAACUUAAUUACUAUUAAAAAAACAAAAAAGGGGGAAAUGGGUUGUAAAAUUCGUACAGGGCUCUGCUGAAACCAUUUGCUUCGUGGUUGACAAAGAUGAACCGUCCAUAUACUGGGUUUCUGUCAAAUCGAAAAUCCCUAUCAAGAACUGUUGCUCGAACUUAGGGUCUAAUGCGUUAAAACUAUUUGUAGGACAGAGAACUUCAUGGAUGCUGCAAAUCGAAGAAAGCUCUGAAGUGAACCGAGAGAAACCAACGUCAACCUACCACCAUCAGAUUGGGCCAGUUAACUGCCGAGGUCCAUGACCGUGACCCGGAGGGUUUGGCUCAGGCACCUUCGAGUAUUCGACAUAACCGAAGAGGAAGAGGGUGCGGGUAAAGAACGGAGGGAGUCGGACUAAUAAUACGUUCCUUUUGGGGUGUAUAAUUAAGGGGGCGUAAAGUGUAAUAAAUUGGAGGAGCCGGAUAAUUAGGGAUGGCAAUGCUUAUGGCGGGCGGGUAAUCGCGGUUAUUUACCCAUAACUGUUUAUAUUCAUACCUGUAUAACUGUUUAUCCGUUAAGUAAUUGCAUUAAUGGUUAUACCCAUAUCCAUAACCAUUUAUAAAUGGUUAACUACAUCCAUAAUCGUGUAUCUAUUUAACCAUAACCAUUUACCCGUUUAUCCGUUUUUGAACCUAUUUAUCAUUUUUUUUACCCAUUUAUCUUCUUUUUUUCACCCGCUACAUGUUUUAACGAUAAAGCCAAUCUUGUGUGUAUGAUAUAGGUCAUGUGGUGAUUGACCUCAAGGCUAUAAUGGCUAUCCCCAAGGUUUAACGAUAAAAUUCUUUGGCCAAAGCCCUCCAUUCAUCAUGGACGUGUGAGACUCUUGGCCUUGAUCUUAGGUAUUGAUUGUUUUGCAGGUGCAUUUUCAUCCAAAAAACAAAAAACAAAACAAAACAAAAAUUUGCAUCUAGAGUGAGUAAAAGUGGAAAUUGAUGGAUGUUGGUGGGAAGGUUACAAAGAAAAGAAGCAUGGGGUGGUGGGCAGGUUGGGAUUUGGGUGUUAAUUGGUGGAAGUAGAUUUUUGGAGGUGGUUUUGGGAGAGAGAUUGAGGUUUAGAGAUUGUGGGGUGGAAGGAGUUGGAAAUGAGAUUUAAUUGUCGAAUUCGGUGGGGAAUUUUGCAGGAGUGGCAUUUCUUAUUGCUCUAUGUAAUCUGUUGUGAGCUUUGGAGAGAGAAGCAUAGAAAAUGAAAGGGUCUCGUAAGGUAUGAGGAGGAGGUUGUGGUGAGUUGAGUUGAGUUGAGUUGAGCGAGUCAGUUUACCUGUAAAAAGAUGUUUUUUGUUCAGAAUGAACGGAAUAUCAGAUAAAAAAUUUGUUUGUAUCAUACUUAGGGCCUUCGUAUUUAGACCUCAUAUAAAUACUCGGGAGACUUAAGUGUAAUUAUGUAAUAAAUGAAGGGGCAAAUAUGUAAUAAGUGAUGAGCCCUUAGUCUAUAAAAGGGACUCCUCACCCUCACAAUCCUCAGGCCUCACAUCCCCUAAACAGAGGCUCUCUCAAACUCUCUUUCUCUGGGGGACUCCCCUUCACCCUUGUAAUCCAUACAUACAGUUAGAAAGAAAUACAAUCAACAUCAGUGUGGACGUAGCCCAAACAUUGGGGUGAACCACGAUACAUCUUGUGUUCUUUACUUUCUUGCAGAUUCACAGUCGAAUUUACAUUGUUCCAAGACAUCUGGUUUUGUGCAUCAACAUUUGGCGCCGUCUGUGGGAAACGGUACGAAAAGUUAUGUUGGUUCUCUUUCAUUUUUUCACCUCCACCAUGAAUCUGCAAAAACCCAAGAACCCUAAGUUUUCCCAGAAAAACCUAAGAAACCAAACCCUCUCUCUCUCUCCCUCUUUCGGCUCUUGCUGUUGAUAACAAAAAGGAUGAUAAAAAAACUCUUUUGCUCUUUUCGGCCUGAUGAGCAGAACGGCGCCCUUGGCCGUUUUACACCUUGCCUCCGCCCAAGACGUGGCGGGACUGGUGUAGGUAGCCUACUCUUCGCCGCACGGGUUCACGGUCUCGGCUAGAUGCCACAGGCACUCCAUCAACGGGCAGGCGCAGACCAACAACGGUGUCGUGAUUCAGAUGAGCGGGGGAUCGUUGAUCGGUGAGGCGGAAGCUCACCUGCUCAUUUUACAAAGCUCACCUGCUCCAAUAUAUGUUAGCCAUAUAUUGCCCGUCUCAAUAACCACACUGAAAUCAAACAGCAAGUGACCCGUUACAUUAAUUAGGUUGGAGUGUUUGAAAUUUAGAAGGAAACAACCGAGAACAUUCCUCGUCCACUUCCAAAUUGCAGUUGAAAAUUCAACGUUCUAUUUGUAUUUGUACUUGUACAACAUCUUCACUGUCGUUGUUUUAUUUGGGUUCCGCGAGAAACACGACAGACAACAUGAAUGGACUUCGGAGCAGCCAUUGCCAACGAUGUCUGCAACUACAAAUCCCAAUUCUCCUCCUCUUGUCCAUUAGCCUCCUAUUCAAUUUAGGUUCGGCAGACGAGCCCUCAACUCCCAAGAACGGAGACAAAGCUUCAAGUGGGUCGGUAGCGCUCAAGGCAGUGAUUGUGCUGCUGGGGGUGGCGGCUAUCAUCGGCUUCUGUGUCUUCUUGUUCAAGAUAUGGCAGAAGAAGAAGAGAGAAGAGCAACGCGCCCGUCUUCUUAAGCUCUUUGAAGACGACGAUGAACUCGAGGUUGAGCUUGGCAUUAAGGAUUGAUGAUUGAUCCCAAUGAACACAAUCCACCCUCCAGAAAGAAAAGCAAAAGAUAUCUUGCAAAGCAACAUGGGUGGGCAGAAUGAGCGGGGAGAUCAAGAAAAGCAGAAAGCAAAAGAAAAUAAAAAAAAGCAGACAUAAUUGCGGUGGUGAUGGCAUGCAAAAAAAGGAAUUAUGGGCGUGACCCAUUGAGCAGAGGGUCAGAUUUAUUUUUGAAUGAUGUGAUCUAUUUAUCUUUCGGAGACAUCUGUAUAACCCCAUCAGAGAGUAAUAAAAAAAAAAAAACAAGCCUAAAAUAAUGGGUUGGAAUGUUAUGUGGAGGCUGAAGGCCCAUAUGCCCAAAAGAGCCAGACCCUUUAUUAUCACAAACUAGGUGAUCAAAAGUAAGUCCAGUACUCUAAAAUUAUUCGGCAGCCUACUGCUAUUAUCACCAACCAGGUGAUCAAAAGUACGUCCAGUACUCCAAAAUUAUUCGGCAGCCUGUCGUUAUUAUCACUAACUAGGUGAUCAAAAGUACGUCUAGUACUCCAAAAUUAUACAUGAGCAUCACUCAUGUCAAUCAUACAUAAACAUUCAUGAGCAUCACUCAUGUCAAUCAUACAUAAACAUUCAGGACCAUUAUUCAUGUCAACAUUCAUGAGCAUCACUCAUGUCAACAUCCAUGAGCAUCACUUAUGUCAAUCAAUGUAAACAUUCAUGAGCAUCACUCAUGUCAAUCAGCUUCGAAAGCUUCAUUUACAGAGCUCCAGCUUCAGCUUCAGCUUUCAGAGCUUCAUCAAGCUUCAAAAGCUUCAUUUUCAAAAGCUCUCAAAGCUUCACUUGCAAAGCUUCACCUACAAAGCUUCAGUCAUGCAGGGUAUAUAAAAUACCGCAUCUGAACAAUCGCCCAACUUCGGCACUAUACUUUCAUAGAAGACUUGGGGGACUACACUAUGUACUUGGGGGACUUAGCCCAUUAUUUAUGUAUUGAAGAGCGAACCCUUAUUUUAUAAAAGGGACUCCUUCACUUUCAUUAGAGAGCACCCAUUAUUUAUGUAUUGAAGAGCGAGCCCUUAUUCUAUAAAAUGGACUCCCUCACCAUCAUUAGAUAGCAUCGUUGCCAGCUAAGCAACCUCCUCGCCGCGAACAUCAACUCUAGCCCAUCACUUAUGUAUUGAGAAGCGAGCCCUUAUUUUAUAAAAGGGACUCCCUCACCAUCAUUAGAGGCAUUGCCGCCUACUGAGCAACCACCUCGCCACGAGCAUCAACUCUAGCCUAUCACUUAUGUAUUGAGGAGCGAGCCCUUAUUUUAUAAAAGGGACUCCCUCACCAUUAUUAGAGAGCAUCGCCGCCUAUUGAGCAACCGCAUCGCCGCUAGCAUCACUUAUAGCCCAUCAUUUAUGUAUUGAGGAGCGAACCCUUAUUCUAUAAAAGGCACUCCUUCACCUUCAACGCCACAAGCCGAGCCAACCAAGGCAACAUAAGCCACAAGCCAAGCAACAUCGCAACAUGUGCUACUUCUAGUUGAGCAUCAUUUCACAUUGAGCACCGCCUCAUAUCGAGUAUCAGUUCUAGACGACAUCUAGUUACUUCGGCCCACACAUGGACUAAAUUUCAAGUCUCCAGCCAAAAGACUCUCUUGACGGAAGACUUGGGGUACUACUGUUUGUAUCAUACUUAGAGCCUUCGUAUUUAUACCUCGUAUAAAUACUCGGAGGACUCAAGUGUAAUUAUGUAAUCAAUGAAGGGGCAAAUAUGUAAUAAGUAAUGAGUACUUAGUCUAUAAAAGGGACUCCUCACAUUCACAAUCCUCGGGCCUCGCAUCCCCUAAAUAGAGGCUCUCUCAAACUCUUUUUCUCUGGGGGACUCCCCCUCACCCUUGUAAUCCAUACAUACAAUUAGAGAGAAAUACAAUCAACAUCAGUGUGGACGUAGCCCAAACAUUGAGAUGAACUACGAUACAACUUGUGUUCUUUACUUUCUUGCAAAUUCACGGUCGGAUUUACGUUGUUCCAAGACCUCCGAUUUUGUGCAUCAACAAAAUUAAAAAAAUCUAAUGGCAUAAAGAAAUUUGGCUAAUUAUAAAAUUUCGAAGAUAAUCAAAUAAGAUAAAAAUUUAUAAGAGAAAUUAACGUCUUACAAAAAAAUCGACAAAUAAGUCAUAUUAAAACAACUCUCAAGGUUCUGCCGUCUCAGUUCUUGUGCUCUUCCGUGCCCUCCUGUUUUAUGUGGUUACAGUUAAGCCACAUCAUUUUUUUAUAUUAUAUUUUUUAUAAAGAUAAUAAGAUAAAAAAUAAUAGUAAUAUAAAAUAUUAACAUUACUUAACCGUGAUCAUACAAAAUAAGAAAGUACGAUAGGGCACAAAAAGUGGGAGGGCAGGAAAUCUGCCUCCCUCUCCACCCAUGCUAUCUAAUUUCACACGUUUCAACAUGCAGAAGCUACUAAAUCUGCCUCCCUCUCCACCCAUGCUAUCUAAUUUCACACGUUUCAACAUGCAGAAUCUACUUGCAAUAUCACUCCCUUGUCAUUAUCACAUCACAUCACUUUUUGUUACUUGUCAUGACCCCAUGCAUGACUAUGCAUCCUGACAAUUCUGAUCAACCCCAUGCCGUUUCCUUUCUUAUUUUUUUUCUUUUUAUUUAAACAGUCAUAACAAAAUCACGUUAAGAUUUUAUAUUAAUUUUUUUUUUAUAAAAAAACAAAGUAAAGUAGGAAAUUUUAACAAAAAACUCAUGGUACUGUUCACUUUAACGAAAAACCAUAUUUUUACACUAAAAAGUUAAUCCUGGUACUAUUUACUUUACCUUUUAUUUUGUCCUUAUUAUUAAAACUCAAAGUUUUCAAAUCAUUUUCAUUAGUUUUAUUAAUACAGUACGUAAGAAGAGGAGAGAAAAGAGAAUAAAAAGAGAAAGAGAAAGAGGAAAAUUCUAAUCCCACUGCUCCAAUCCAAUCCGAUGACAAGAAUCCCAAUCCCAUGUAAACUGCACUGCUUGCUUGGAGAUAUAAUUAGAUUUGGAUUGUCUGCUCUCCUCAUCUCAUAUUCUUCGCAUGCCUCCUAUUAUGUGGUCACAGUUAAGUCACAUCAAUAUUUUAUAUUAAUUUUUUUAUAGAAAUAAUAAGACAAAAGGUAAUAGAAAUAUAAAAUGUUAACGUAACUGAACUGUGACCAUAAAAAUAGGAGGGUAUGAGAUGGAGAGAGUAGGCAAUCCAAGUCCGAUAUAAUUUGCAUCUUAUUAUUCCGUAAAAGAAAAGACUAAGAUAAUUCAUAUUAAAAGAUAAUUAUUAUAUGAUUAAAAAUCAUAAUAUUAUUCUUUAACAAUAAUAAAAUUCUCAUCACUUUUUCAUUUGAUUGUUUAGAACCAUGCUCAAUCAAUGGUUUCGAUUGCACGGAUCGAUAGUGUAAUUUUGAGUCCAAAUAGAAACACAUAAAAAGAUUGAAAAUGCAUUUUUAUACUCUAGGGAGAAGCGGAGCUAGUAAUUUACAACAAUGGGAUCAAAAAUAACUUUAAAAAAUCGAUCACACUUUCAUUUAAAAAUAGCUUCCAAAUUGAAAACACAUCACCCAUCUCACUCAAAUGAAAGAACAAAUAGAGAUUAAAAAAAUACAUAACAAAUUUCUCUCUAAAAAAUUAGCACCAAUAUGAGUAAUUGCUAGGGCACCCUGCGGAGAGCACUAAAGCAGCAACUGCUGCCUUUUAAAUGAUGCCCCAUGUUUUUCACACUCUCUCUGUCUGGUUCUCUCUUUCAAAAUGGUAGACCCGACUGCUCUCUUAUUAAAAUGAGAGAGCUGAAUCCUCUCCGAUCAAAGGGUAUGGCAAACAGGUGAUAUAUGUAUUACAACAAAUCAACAUAAAUUAAUAGAGAAAUAUAAAGGAAAUGCAGAGUCUUUGAGGACUGAUUCUCUGGAUUUUAUGUCUUUCCUUUCAACUUUUGUCUAUAAAUAAACACACACACAAACACCCCAACUACUACCUCCACUACCACCCCACAGCUUUAUCUAAGCUGACCUCGUGCAACCCUUUUGCAAUUUUGUAUCAAACAGUUCAGAUUUCAACCUUCAAUGGCGGAUGAGGUGGUUUUGUUGGAUUCCUGGCAAAGCCCAUUUGGGAUGAGGCUAAGGAUUGCUCUGGCUGAGAAGGGCAUCGAGUAUGAGUACAAAGAUGAGGACUUGUGGAACAAGAGCCCACUGUUGCUGCAGAUGAACCCGGUUCACAAGAAGAUCCCGGUUCUCAUUCACAAUGAAAAACCGAUCUGUGAGUCCCUAUUUGCACUUCAGUACAUUGAUGAGGUUUGGAAUGAUAGGGCUCCACUCUUGCCCUCUGACUCUUACCUCAGAGCCCAGGCCAGAUUCUGGGCUGACUUCGUCGACAAGAAGAAGGUGAUAUUUACUCAUUAUUUCACUUAUUUGCAAUUUUUUUUAAUAUGUUUGGUUUAAACAAUUGAACAAUGGUGUUUUGGAUCUAUGUUCAGCGUUAAUAUCAAGGUAAAUUAUAUUUCAUCCUGAUAUUACAACCUUAUAUAAUAUCUUUAAAAUAUUUCAGUUUUCUACUUAUUAUAUUUUUUUUAAUUUCACACAAACGUUGAAAAAUCUAUUAAGUUAGCCGUUAAGUGAUGACGUGAUAUCUGUGAUUUCACAUUGACGUUGAUGUUGCUCUCUUAAAAAAAUUAAAAUUAAUUAAAGAUUAUAAAUUAAAGAUUUUUUUUAACUAAACAAAACUAAAGUUAAAAAAAAUAAAAGAAAUUAGGUUGUCAUUCUUAUUUUUUCUUCUUCAUUAAUUAAAAUCUUAUUUCUUUUAAAAUGUUUAGGUUUUAAUGAAUGUCAUUAAUUAUUUAAUAAUAAAUUAUUUACAUAUUAGCAUAAUUGAAUUAGAUUUCUCAAAUAUAUUAAUUUAGUGUUAGAAACGUUACAUUUUGUAUAUUUAUAUUUAUGACUAUACUUUGUAUCAUAUAUUUUUAUUUUUAGUUUGUACCAAAUUAUAAUUUGCAACUAUUUUUUAAAUUUGUACCCACAUAUUAAUUUCUUUUAUUGCCCUUUUCUUUAAAAAAAUUAUUGGUAGUCUAGUUUUUUUUAUUUUUUUAUUAUUGUACCUAUUCUUUUUUAUAAUGUUCCACUUUUUUAUAUGUAAAAUGUACCUUUUUUUUUUUUUUUUUAUAAUUUUUUAUUGUACCUGUUCUUUUUUAUAAUGUUCUACUUUUUUAUACGUAAAAUGUACCUUUUUUUGUUUUAUUUUAUUUUUUUGUAAAUGUACCAUUUUUUAUGUAAAAUGAACCCUUUUUUUUAAUGUAAAGUUUAUAAAUGUACACCUUUUUCAAUUUCAAAUGUAUCCUUAUUUAAAAAUAUAAAAAAACAUUUUAUUUUGUGAAAAAACUAAAAAAAUCUGAUAAGUGUAAGAUGAAUUAUUAAUCUUUGUAAGAUUAUAGGGAAAACUUAAUACCAAAAUUUAAUAUUUUGUCUUUCAAUCAAAAUAUUCAAAUUAGUAAUUUUUAGUCUAAGAUUUUGGUAUGAUAAAAUUUCAAUCAAAAUAAUGUAUCCAUGUGAAUUUUUUAACAGGAUGGAUAAAUGAUUUUGCUAUUUAUUAUUUAAUAUUAUUACACUGUUUUUAUUUAUUUAUUCAAAAAAAAAAAAUUAUUGUAGCCGUUUCAUAUUAUUACAUUGUAAUAUAAUGAGGGACUUUAUAUCUAGGACUUAUAUGCCACAUAUACACACACACACACAUACACAAAAUAUGGGAUUAUAAAUCUCAUAAGUGUCAAACAUAUAAAAUAUACAUAUUAAUAUUAAUAUAAUGAGGUUUUCAAAGUCAAGGAUGUUUAAUAAAAAAUUGAAUACUCUUAAGGUUUUAGUUAAAAAGUGUUAGGCCAUCUCCAACCGAUGGCUGGCUAGAGGGCUCGUUUUAGCCCUCUGGCCUUCCAAGAUUCUCUAAGAUAUUAAUAUUUUAAUGAACAGUACAGGGCCAUAUUUGCCUCCGUCUCCAACCGAGGGCCAGAGGGCUCGUUUUAGCCCUGUCACAAAAAACCGUCUCCAACCGAGGGCCAAAGGGCUAUAGGGUCAAACAUAAUUUAUUAUUUUAAAACUACAAUUUAAUGUUGUAUAAAUGGCCUAGGAAGUUAUACGAAAAAAAUAGAAUUGAAAAAAAAUAUGAAACAAAUUUUGUGAAAUAGAAGUUAUAGGAAAAAAAAUAUGAAACAAAAUUUGAUUCAUAUGAAAAUGAAAAAAAAAAGGGAAAAAAAGAAGUUUAAAUUCAUUAAAAAGGGAAAAAAAGAAGUUUAAAUUCAUUAAAAAAAAAAAAAAAAAAAAAAGAGGCCUAAUAAUCCAACGACUACUAGCCGUUAUAUUCAAAAGCAUUUCAAACUAUUAGUGUCGGUUAUAACCGACACUAAUAGUAGAACUAUUAAAAAAAAAAAGAAUACCUGUAAUGCUGUCGGUUAUAACCGACAGCAAUAGGAAAUCAUUAAAAAAAAAAAUAGCCAGCCCGGGGCUGGCUGGCUGGCCGAAAGCAGCCAGCCCUCCAGCCCUCUCCGAUCCCGUGGGGUCCUCCCAGAUUCCAGAGCCCUCUGGCCUAGCCCUCGGUUGGAGACGGUUUUAGGGCUAUUUUCGGCCCUCUGGCCCUCUGGACCCUUCGGUUGGAGAUGGCCUUAGUGACUAGGGAUCGAAUAUAAAGUCUCUUGAUAAAAAAUAAUUCUUUCUCCAACCACAGAGAUUUCAUUGUUGAACCUAAAUCCAGAACUCCACGAGUAUGGAGAUCCAUCAAAACAGAAGGGCAUCGUCUAAUUUAAUCUCGGAGUGGGUGAGAGAACAGACGGCGAGUCCGGGUUCGACUGGUUUCGGGUUUCAGUUUAGGGUUUGUGAUGUAUAUAUUAGAAAUAUAUAAGUAGAGGAUCUGAACUUGCUCAAGAUAAUGUACAUUAAUUUUCCUGGAAUUUUGGGGAUGUGAAAUGCAGAUAUUUCAGAUUGGGAAGAAGGUGUGGACAACCAAAGGAGAAAAACAGGAUGCAGCAAAAAAAAAAUUUCUCGACUGCAUAGGCGUGUUAGAAGGAGAGCUUGGAGACAAGCCUUUCUUUGGGGGGGAUACCCUCGGAUUCGUGGACGUGACCCUUAUUCCAAUCUAUAGCUGGUUUCUUGUGUGUGAGAAAUUUGGCGACUUCAGUGUUGAGGCUGAGCACCCAAAAUUUAUUGCCUGGGUUAAGAGGUGCAUGGAGAAGGAGAGCGUGUCCAAGUCGCUUCCCGAGCAGGAAAAGGUCUAUGAUUACGCCAUGCUUAUCAGGAAAAAGCUUCGAAUUGAGUAGAUAUUGGUGGAAGCCUGGCAAGAAGCUAUUGAUGAUGAUCAGUGUCAUUCCAACUUGUUAGGUCAUUUGGUUUUCCUGUGAAUCUGUUUUGGGUUGUUGAAUAAGAAUAAAAGGGCACUUGACAAAGCCUUCUAUUGUAUGAGGCACUUCAUUGUGCCUCUGGUCAUAUGUUUGUUUUGCUUUUGUAGUCAACUUAUCACACUGUUGUCAACUUGUUAUGUAAGGGAUCUAAAUCUACUUGAUCAAAUUUCUUGUUUUGUAACCACUUCAUAGUCAAUGAUGGAUUAUUGGUCGUCACCUCCGACUCCGCAAUUUCAUUUAGUGGUCGGAAUCAUAUCUUGUUUGGAUUUUGUGGAGUGGUAUGGGAUUCGUCUUACUCCAUAAUUUCAUUGAGUGGUCCAUAAUUGUAUCAUGUUUGGUUCCGUUGAGUAGUCUUGAACCUGAUCUUUGUUACAUUUCGUUGAGUGGUCUGAAGUUGCACCCUCGUCUUCAUUGGUCCAUUGAUUCCUUGAAAGUGGCCUAAGCUCAGGAAAUGUAGGCUUCGGUUAAACUGUGUCACUCUAGCCCUAGUUUUUAUUGCAUUUAUGAAACAUAGAUUUGUGAACUUUUGUGGUUGGUUUUAGAAAGGCUGACGGAUGUCUGUGCGACUCAUUCGGGUUUUCAACGAAUAGUUUUAUGAUUUUAUAAACAAUGAUUUUAUGAUUGAUGUUUACUAAUUAUGUUCGAUAGAUUAUCACACGUCGGAUUAUUGUCGCUCACACGAGCUUCGUAGCUGCUGGGUUGUUGAUUUUCCCGGUACAUCAUUUCCAUGGUGUAGGGGGCGAUUUUGCAAGUGGCCGAGCUUCGCUACGAGGAGCUUUGGGGUAGCAGUCAGAGGUCAAGAGCUUAGAGUGCUUAAGUUACCCCUAUAUCUUUCUUGUAUUUCUUGGACUUUCUUUGUGGGUUACUUGCUUUCGUUAUAGAGUUGUUGUAAUCAUUUGUGGCAGAACUCACCAUUUUAUUAAAUAUUGUUAAUUCCAUAUUAGUAUUUCUUGUUUGUAUUCCCUGCACCUCCUGCAGUAAACCGUCGCGUGUCAAUCCUAGACAUAUGCUGUCAGUGACCAACUUACAACAUUAGCGAUCGAAAAGUAUUUUAUGGGAAAGCGCUCGGCUUAAUUGCUAAUAGAGGGUCUGAAGGCCAUAGGCUCUUAAAGCGCUCGGAUUCGUUGUUUCAAGUUCAUUAGGCGCAAGACGGUGGAUGAUGGUGGUGGUCAGGGACGGAGUUAGAAAUUUCUUCUAGUGGGGGCAACCCGAAAAUCAACUAAGAAACUUUAUUAUAGUAUGGCUUAUACCUAAUAUGAUAAUAGAGAUGAUUUCAAAUGAUAAUGCAUCACAAUUCCAAUGUUAUAAAAAAAUUCAAUGUAGUAGUGGAAAGUGGCAAAGUCAUAAGAAAAAUAUUAAUACAUGAUUACACGGGAGAGAUUUUUUAAGUUUGAAUGACAGAACAAGAACACUUUUGCUCUUAUAAUAUUUAAUAUGGAGUAUAUGCAGUAUGAAGGUGUUGAAUAUUAGAUACAUAUAUUGUCUUCAAAGAUAACACGUGUGUAUUAUAUAAUUGUAGUCUACAACUUAACAAACGAAUCACUUGAGUGAGGGCAUAUGCCCCCAGUGAGCCUUCAUUGGCUCCGUCUAUGGUGAUGGUGAGGUUAUGGGUCAUAAACAAUAAAAUAUUUACCCAAAAAUUGAAUAAUUUCAAGAUUUUGAUGUCGAAAACGGUGACAUAAUAAAAUCCAAUUAUCGACUAUAAAAAAUAAAAAAUAAAAUCCAAAUAGAAUGAUCUCGAAUAGGGCUGGGCAAACGGGUCCUGGACCCGCGGGUAGGGGCGGGUAAUACGGGUACGGGCCGGUUCUUAGUUUUGUAAAAAUAGAAAGGGGCGGGGCGGGGCGGGUAAUUUAAGUUUUAGGGGCGGGCCGGUUCCAAAAUUAUAGGAUCCGCGGGUACCCGGACCGGCCCGUUUGUGUUAGAUUGGACGGACGAGAUUUAAUAUCAUCUCUCCAUCCAAUCUCAACCGUCGGUUUAAGUUUUCUACUUUCAACCCUAGCCAACUUCCCUGUGUCCCGACCGAGUUCCAGAAGCAUCCAACCUCAGCAACCUCAGACCUCAGUCUCUCGGAUUCUCAAAGACUCUCCUUCCUCGACUCCCUCUCCCUGAGUCCCUCUCCCUAUCCCUCUCCCUCGAAUCCCUUUCCCUAUCCCUUCCCUCGACUCCGACUCACAAUGCUCACCCCACCACUCUCACAGCGCUGUCGCGAGUCGCGACCAACAUCAUCACCCCCCAUCACCACCUCCGCCGUCGCAACCACCAUCAUCACCCCAUCACCACCGUCGAGGACACUGCUACUACUAAUACCAAGGCAAGUACCAACCAUCAUCCCUCUAAAAUUGACUAUUAAUAUGAAUUUCUGGUGUAGGGAUUUUUAGGGGUUUUAAGUUAGAAUUUGUAGAUCGAUGAUUGAGCUAUAAAAAAAUAUUCUCAAAGAUCUUGUUUUUGGGUCUCCACAAUGCCGGAAAAACGAUGUUGCUUCAUAUGCUCAAAGAUGAGGUUUUUCUUUCAAUCUCAUCCUUUUAAUCGGACUUUUUCUAAAUUUGUUGGUGGGUUUUUGGUCCUUUCGAAUUCGGUGAAAUUUGGGAAUUUUCAAUGCUUCAAUGGUGUUUUUAAUUGGUAUUUGGUUUAUGCUGAAAUUUUCGUUUUUGUUUUACAUUUAAUCAAUUCGGGGUCUGUUUGGUUGAUGAGAAAGUGAAGAAAAAGAAAAUAUGGGCUGAAGGAACAGUUUUUUUGAGAGUGUAGUUUUUAAUUGUGCAAUUGAAAAUCUUUUUUCUUUUCUUUUGUGUAAUUCCUAUGGGUUUUUUUUUUCAUUAGAUUUUCUGCUCCCAAUCCAAUAUAAGUAUUGAGUUUAAAGAUGAUAUUGAAUCACUCAAGUUUUAAUAUCAGGAAGAAGAAGAAGAAAUGAAUAAAGCAAUUUGCUCUUGGAAUUGUUUUGAUUCUGUUUGAUAAUUACUUGAUUAGCAUAGAAUUUAGUUUUCUGCUUCUGGGUUUUGUUGAUGAUGCAUUGUUGCAGAGGUUAGUUCAACACCAGCCGAGAGUUGAGCAUUGGUAAAAUCAAGUUCAAGGCUUUUGAUUUGGGUGGACAUCUCAGAUACUCAUCUCAGAUAUCUAUCUUAUUCAAUAGUUUUGUCGUAGUUCAUUCGAAAUAACUGAAUGGGUUCACAAAGGACGCACUGCUGUAAGAUGAUUUAACCUUUCCUUUGUUGUUCUUUAUUUACUUUUUGGUCAUGCCUAGUAAGCUAUGAGCUAUACCAUGUACAUACAUUAGACUUGAAUUUUGUUUGACUGUAAACGAUGUAUCAUGCAUCCCCAUAAAGAGUGUAUUGUCAUCAAGUUAAUUUAUAGCAGUAAAGUCUGUCAUAUGUGCUCAAUAAAUGCGUUUUGGAAUUUCAUUGUAUCUAGAUACUCUUUGUUGAUGAUCUUUAUACAUAUCUGGGAGCAGCCACAUCCUUUAUUCCUUUUUCCUUUUCAACUCUACCUGGAGCAGAAGGUUUAAAACUGCAUUAAAUUGCAAUCACUAUGUUAGUUUGGUUAGAUUGUGAAUUGUUCCUUUUUUCCGUUUUCCUGGGAUAAAUUGAAAACUGAAAUGCGAGGCCACUGCUAUAUCUUAGUCAUAAUCGAAGCCAACUUCUUGGUUCUUGCUGGUAUUUGCUUAGAUUUCACAUGAGUAACGGUUUAAUCACUAUGUUAGAUGGCGUCCUGUUUUCUUCAAACUUGUAUGAUUUUCCUUGCUGUUUGCAAAAUGCUGUUUCAAUGAUACGUUGCUAAAACUACCUUAUUGGUCCUUGGGCCCCUUAUUUAAAAAUGGCAUCAUUGUUGCAGAACUUCCUCAACGGCCUUUGUUAGAGAACCUUGCAAGGGAGCUCCGCCAACGAUUGGUAACCUCUCUCUCUCUCUCUCUCUCGUUGUGCAAUGGUAGAAGUUAAGAAUCGACUUUUUCUAGGGCCUUCGGCUAUUCAAUGUUGAUAUGAUUCGAGAGCAUGGGACAAAGGAUGUUUUUUAUGUCAUUGACAUAAACUACUUUAUGAUAAAAUCACUAGGUACAAAACAUUUAUAUAGUAAAAACAGAUUGCAAUCUGCACAAACUGCACUGCACAGAUUGCAAUCUGCACAACAAACUGCACUGCACUGCACAGAUUGCAAUCUGCACAAUCUGCACAAACUGCACUGCACUGCACAGAUUGCAAUUUGCACAAACUGCACUGCACAGAUUGCAAUCUGCACAACAAACUGCACUGCACUGCACAUAUUGCAAUCUGCACAAUCUGCACAAACUGCAUUGCACUGCACUGCACAGAUUGCAAUCUGCACAAAUUGCAAUGCACUGAUUGCAAACUGCACAAACUGCACAGAUUGCAAACUGCAUUGCACAGAUUUGCACAGAUUGCAACUGCACAGUCACACACUGCACAAAUUAAUAACAUGAUGAUACCUCUCAGCCUUUUUGGUCUUUUGUCGGUCAACAAUCUGUGUGUUGUGUGUUCACUCUGUUUAAUUGUGCUACCUGCUUCUGUUUCCCAUCCCAGAGAGUAAUUAUUUCGAAAUAUCUUUAUUUGAUUAAUGAAUAUAGUUCCAUUAUUUGAUUUUUGCAGAUUUUUACAUAAUGUCUCAAUCUCAAAGUCAAAGUACCCCUAGUAGUACUAAUGUAGCAUCAUCUACGGCUACAUCACCAUGUCCUCCACAACCAACACAAGCACAACCCAUACAGUCAAAACCAUCAAUGCCUCCCCCAAACCCCUCAUCCUCUAGAAAAAGAAAAGCACCACCUAUUCCAAAGACAAAACAACCAACUAUAAUAGCUUCACUAGAGAGAUCUUCUUCUGAGAGAUCUUGGGUUUGGGAUCAUUUCACUAAGUGUACGGUCUCGGAAAUGCAAGAAGUAGAAAAGGAUGGAAAGAAAGAGAAGGGGGAGGUACAAGUAUUGAAGGCUACGUGUAACCAUUGUAACUCUUUUUUUGCAUGUGAUACUAGUGGGGGUGGAACUAGUACUUACAUUAAACAUCUCAAUAAACAUUGCAAGUCAUAUAAACCAACUGAUGAGUUGCAAAAGGUUCUAGGCAGUUCUGGACCUUCUGGGGAUGGGAAUGUCAAAAACAUGCUUGUUGCUAAAGGGUUGAGCCAAGAAGAAAGUGUGGAAGGUAUUAUUGAGUUUAUUGUGCUCGAAGAGAUACCUUUUAGUAUUGUGGAGAGUGAAGGGUUUAGGCGGAUGAUGUGCAAAGUCCAGCCUAGAUUGCAUGUUCCAUCUCGGAGAACUAUGAUGAGGGAGUUAUUCAAUAUGUAUGAUAGCAUGAAAGAUCAGUUAAAAAAGGAGAUACACAAUCAUAGAGUGAGCUUGACUACUGAUACAUGGACAAGUGUGCAAAACUUGAACUACAUGGUGCUAACUGCUCAUUUUGUGGAUGAUGAUUGGAAUAUGCACAAAAGGAUUCUAAACUUUUGUUUGAUUUCAAGUCAUCAAGGCAAAGAAAUAGGGAAGAUGAUUGAGCAAUGUUUGGUUGAGUGGGGGAUUGAAAAGGUAAUGUGCAUCUCAGUUGACAAUGCAUCGGCUAAUAAGGUGGCAAUUGAGUAUGUUGUUCGUAAAAUGAAGAAAUGGCCUAAUAGUAAAAUGAUUAUGAAUGGCAAGUUUAUGCAUGUGAGGUGCUUAGCUCAUAUUAUCAACUUAGUAGUGAAACAUGGGUUGAAAAGGUUAGAUACAAGUGUGGAUGCUUUUAGAAAUGCCGUGCGGUUUGUGAGGUCAAGUCCUCGAAGGUUAAGUUAUUUCAAGAAAUGUGUGGAGAGUGAGAAGUUGGAUAGUAAGGGUCUAGUUGUUAUGGAUGUGCCUACUAGGUGGAAUAGCACAUACAUGAUGCUAGAAUCUUGCUUGAAGUUUCAAAAAGCAUUUGAAAGGAUGAUCGAAGAUGAUGAAGCCAAUAUAUACACCACCUAUUUCAGUGAAAAGGUGCUUAAUGAUGAAGGAGAAGAAGUGGCGGGUAAAGGGAGGGUUGGACCACCUAAGGAGGAAGAUUGGGAUAGUGCAGAAGUGUUUGUGAAAUUUUUGAAGGCUUUCUAUCUUAUAACUUUGAAAGUUAGUGCAAGUAAGUAUCCCACAUCUAAUACAGCUGUUCAUGAUGUCAUUGUUGUGGAAAACGAGAUUGAAAAGCUUUUUUUGCCUGAAUAUAUGCAAACUGGAAAACCGGUAGAGUUGGUGCUACGUGAUAUGGCAUUCAACAUGAGAGCCAAAUAUCGAAAGUAUUUUGGUUCAAUUGAGUCCCUUAACCAAAUAUUUGUAGUUGCCCUUGUCUUAGACCCAAGGUUCAAAUUGAGGCACUACAUGCACUUGUGCCGAAAGCAGUUACAACUUCCUGAAGAAGAGAUUGAACAGAAAAGUAAUGAAGUGAAGACAUUGUUGAAGGCGAUGUGUGAUGAAUAUGCUUUCCAAGUUUUCGGUUCACAAACACAACAAAAGGGUAGAGAAGAUUUAGUUCUUGACACUUCUUCUUCAAGGGUAAAACAAUCAUCUUCUAGUGUGCCAACGGAAAAUCCAAUGAUAUUUAAUCAAAUCAUGGAUGAUUGGGAGAAGGAACUAGAAGACACCGAGGAUAUUGUGCUUGCACAUGAGGUGGAUAGGUAUCUCCUCGACACUGUAGAGAAAGUACCACAAGGUUCACAAUUUGACGUUUUGAAAUGGUGGAAGUUGAAGGGGAGGAGCACAUAUCCCACACUUGCUUUGAUAGCAAAAGAUGUCUUGCCAAUUCAAGUGUCAACAGUUGCCAGUGAGAGUGCAUUUAGUGCAGGAAAAAGAGUAAUUCACCCUUGUAGAUCAUGUCUCAUUCCUCAAACAGUGGAGUCAUUGAUGUGCCUCCGAAAUUGGAUAAGAAGUGAACCAAUUGGCAGCAUUGAGUAUGAAGCAAGUCAUGCGGAGCUUGAAUUUUAUCAAGAGUGUGAAGAAGGUAACUAUUUUGUUUUUAAUAGUUUGGUUUAUAACUUUAUAUUAAUUGGUUUACAAUUAACGUUUGUUCUUUAUUGUAGAAUAUAAAAGAAAAAGAGCAAAUACUAUCUCUACAAGUUCAACCAUCUCACCAAGUGUUCCAAGUGUUCCUGAAACUCCUCAAACGAAUAAAGGAAAAGGAAUUGUGGUAAUAUUUUAAACUCAAAUGAAUGAACUUUAAAUUUCAAUGAGGAUAAUAUGAUAUUGGACUUUAAAAAUGUCAUGUUUAUAUUGUAUUUUUGCUUACAGAUUCAAUGAGGAUUGUUGUCGGAACUUGGGCGUUGGAAUUUGAAAUUUAUUGCGGAUGUGUGCAAUCUGUGAAAUCUGUGUAUGUGCAAACUGCAAUCUGUGAAAUCUGUGUCUAUGCAAACUGCAAUCUGUAUUCUGUGCAAUUUUUUUCAAACUGCAAUCUAUGCUUUUUUUUUUCAAUCUGUGCAAUCUGUGCACUGCAAAAUGCAAACUGCAAUCUGUGCAGUUUUUUCAAACUGCAAUUUGUGGAAUCUGUAAUUUGUGGAAUCUGUUCUGUGCAGUUUUUUCAAACUGCAAUUUGUGGAAUGUGGUAUCUGUGAAAUCUGUGAAAAUCUGUGAAAUUUGUGAAAUCUGUGAAAUUUGUUUUAUGCAGUUUUUUUUCAAUCUGUACAAUUUGUGCAGUUUUUUUCAAACUGCAAUCUGUGCAAUAAAAAACUGCAAUCUGUGCAGUAAAAAACUGCAAUCUGCAAUCUGUGAAAUUUGUGGAAUCUGUGAAAUCUGUGAAAAUCUGUGAAAUUUGUGAAAUCUGUGAAAUUUGUGGAAUUUGUUUUAUGCAUUUUUUUUCAAUCUGUACAAUUUGUGCAGUUUUUUUCAAACUGCAAUCUAUGCAAUAAAAAACUGCAAUCUGUGCAGUUUUUCAAUCUGUGCAGUAAAAAACUGCAAUCUGCAAUCUGUGCAGUUUUUCAAUCUGUGUAGUUAAAAACUGCAAUCUGUGCAGUAAAAAAACUGCAAUCUGUGCAGUUUGUGAGAAACUGCAAUUUGUGCAGUUUUUUCAAACUGCAAUUUGUGUGCAGGAAACAUUUUUAAACAGGAAAAAAAAAAAAACCUGUGUACCCGGACCGAACCGGCCCGUUUCAACCGGGCCGGGUAAGGUCCGGUUCCUAUUUUCAAAAUUGUAAUGCCCCGGCCCGGCCCGCCCCGUCUCCUUUAAUUACGGGUCCGGUCCGGUCCCUUCAAAAAUGGGCCCGGCCCGGCCCGUGCCCAGCCCUAAUCUCGAAUGUGUCCACCAAGGAAGAAAAAUAGAAUAUCUCCAUUCUGCUGUCCGUUGACUACUGCCCCUUUAGUUUUCCCUCUCAACAUUUGUCUAUAAAUACGCACACACACCAGCCACUACUACCUCCUCCACCAACCACAGCUUCAUAUCUAAGCUAACCUUCUACAACCCUUUUGCAAAUUUGUAUCAAACAAUUUAGAUUUCAUUAAUUUACUUAUUUGUAGGAUUAUUUUUGUUUUGAAACAAUUGAACAAUGUUGUUUUAGAAUUUUAAGAUUAUAAGUGCUUAGGGUGUAAUGAUUUUACUACUUAGGAUUUGCAUUAGAAGGAAAAUUAAAUGGAAACUGGAUCUCUGUUUAUGUUUUCGGGGUUAAUAUUAUGUUCGCUUUUAAAACAUAGUUGAUUAAGAUUUCAUGUCACGGUUUCGGGUUUAAGGUUUGUGAUGUAUAUUUAGAAAGAUAUAAGCAGAAGGUCUGAACUUGCUCAAAACAAUGUAUAUUAAUUUUCCUGUUUUUUUGGGAUGUGAAAUGCAGAUAUAUGAUAUUGGGAGGAAGCUGUGGACAACCAAAGGAGAAGAACAGGAUGCAGCAAACAAAGAAUUUGUUAAAGGAACAGAAAUCACUCAAUCUGUACAAGGUGGAUAGCAGGAAUGUAGCAUGUGGAUGCACAUUCCUGGACAGUUUGGACAGCUGCAUGAGGAUACCAAAAUCCUUGUCAGAAAAGGUUUGCACAUGGUGGAUGCACAACAUGGACGUGUCAGUUACAUCAUGGGCAGCAAGGAUGCAGCAAGGAUGCCCAUUCCCUUUUAUAUUUAAUUAUUGCAUGCGUGCUAUCAUUGUAUGUAUAUAUAUAUUAGCUCUUUUCAUUUAGGACAGAUUUGAAUAAUAAGAGCAUUCUUCCAUUCCAAUUUCAUAUGGUAUCAGAGCACCUUCCUGGUGCCUGAAACGCUUCCGCUCAAUCUCGUUAUUCAUCAUGAGUGACGAAGAAACUCCUAAACACAAACCACAACUCACAACAACAAUGGACAUCACUGAUCCAUUCUACAUCCAUCACUCGGAUCACCCGAGUCUACACCUUGUUUCCAAACCACUAGAUGGUGACAAUUAUUCCACAUGGAGUCGUGCAAUGACAAUCAGCCUCAGCGCCAAGAACAAGCUCGGUUUUGUGGAUGGUUCAAUAGAAGCCCCGCCAAAAACCGACGCCAAAUAUUCCCUUUGGAAACGGUGCAAUGAUAUGGUUCUCUCAUGGGUCGUUAGUUCUGUUGGUAAUGAUUUGAUGAGCAGCGUCCUAUACACGGAUUCACCUUCUGAGAUAUGGGAGGAUUUGAAGGAACGUUUCUCGCAAGGAAAUGUUUCUCGCAUUUUUCAAAUUAAAAGAGAGAUCAUUGAACAUCGACAGCGUCAACAGUCCAUAUCGGCAUACUAUACUAAACUCAAAGGACUUGGGAUGAACUAGCGUCCUACAAUACAAUUCCAGCCUGCACAUGUGGAACGAUGAAAGCGAUCAAUGAAAGAGAACAACAGGAACAGGUUAUUCAAUUUCUCAUGGGACUGGAUGACUCUUAUUCGGCUGUUCGUGGACAAAUCCUCUUAAUGCAGCCACUACCAAACAUUCGUAAGGUAUAUUCUUUGACUUUACAAGAAGAAAAACAAAGAGAGGUGGCAGAAGGUGGUGAAAGUAACACUACACAUGCCAUGCACGUAUCCAAGACCACCUGGAAUAAGUCUCGCAAACCGAACAAUGGUGGCAAGACAAACACUGGUAAGGUUUUUCAUUGUACUUACUGCGAUGGAAAUACCCAUACAGUUGAUUACUGUUUCUACCUUCAUGGCUUUCCUCCUGGCCACAAGUUUCACGGGAAGGACGUAAAGCCUCCAAACAAAACCAGGCGCGCAGCAGCCAAUAAUGCCCACAAAGAAGAAGCCAAGUCGAGCACUACCAAAGAACCUGUUGAUUUGAAAUUCACAGUGGACGAGAUCAACCAAAUCAAAGCUAUUCUUCGUGGUGAUAGUAAAAACCAGGUUUUUGCAAAUGCAGCAGGUAUACCUAAUGCACGAUGCUAUUCUUUUUCCACAAACAAUCCAGAUUCUUGGAUUAUUGACAGUGGUGCUACAGAUCACAUCUCUUCUUCUUUCAAUUUAAACGACAAAAGGAGCCCACAUUCUUCCUCCGUCAAUUUACCAAAUGGGUCACAAGCACAAAUUUCUUGCCUUGGUUCACUCAAACUCACUCCAAAUUUAGACCUAAAAGAUGUCCUUUGUGUCCCUGGUUUUCGAGUUAACCUGAUGUCAGUUAGCAAAGCUACUCGGGGAUUAAAUUGUUUGAUCAUUUUCUUCCCUACUUUUUGUCUCUUACAGGAUUUGGCAACGAAGAAGAUGAUUGGAUUGGGGAAGGAGCGUGAUGGCCUGUAUUACCUAGUCCCAGUCCAAGAAGACUUCGCCCUUCGACAGACUAAGCCUGGGGUUGUUGCUGCUUCUGCAUCCGCACCAUCCAACGUCUGGCACCAACGCCUUGGACAUCUUUCCACUGGUCCAGCCCGUGUUUUAUCUAGUUCCAUUCCUGAUAUUUCUUUUAAUUUUGAUUCUCAUUGUGAUGUUUGUCCAGUAGCCAAACAAACAAGGUUACCUUUUCCCUUAAGUUCUACUUCUAGUCUACAACCUUUCGAGUUAAUACAUUGUGAUAUUUGGGGUCCGCAUCGUUUGCCCUCUUCAUCAGGUGCUAGAUACUUCUUAACUAUUGUUGACGAUUACUCCCGAUUUACUUGGCUUUUUCUCAUGAAUUUAAAAUCUGAAACACAAGAGAAAAUCAAACUGUUUUUUGCUUAUGUCAACACUCAAUUUCAGCGUCAAGUUAAACAAGUAUGCACUGAUAAUGGUGCAGAAUUCCUAUCCAUGCGUUCAUUCUUUGCCAACUCAGGAACUGUUUUCCAACAUACUUGUCCACACACACCUCAACAAAAUGGGGUGGUGGAGCGUAAACAUCGGCAUCUCCUUAAUGUAGGUCGUGCACUUCGUUUUCAAGCAAAUCUUCCCCUCAAAUUUUGGGGAGAAAGUCUUCUCACUGCCACUUAUCUCAUCAAUCGCACACCCACCAUCGUUUUAUCAAAAAAAACACCCUAUGAAAUGCUCUACACACGCUCACCCACUUAUAUGCACUUACGGGUUUUUGGUUGCCUUUGCUAUGCUACACACACCUCCCCUAAACACAAGUUUGGUGUCAGGGCUCACAAAUGUCUCUUUGUUGGUUAUCCUUCUGGACAAAAGGGGUAUCGUCUCUACAAUCUUCACACUCAUCAAUUUUUUACUAGCCGUGAUGUGGUUUUUCAUGAACACAUCUUUCCUUUUACUCAUCAUCCUCCCGACACCCAACCUGAUGAAGUUGUGCCCGUCGUUCAUCUUCCCCUCACCGACACCAUCUCAGAUUCUUCCACCUUUUCACAAGAACCCUCAUCUCCCACCAUCUCUAGUCCAACCGCUUCUCCUCCUUCACCUGCCGUCCCUUUUCCACCAUCACCUGUGUCGCCCCUAUCCUCUCUUCCUUCUCCACGCCCUGUCAACUCUAUCUCACCACCACCUUCCCUUGGUCGCGGCCUCCGCCCCAAGCAACCUUCUGUCUUAUUGAAGGAUUAUGACUGUUCACAGGUCACCACGUCGCCUUCCACGUCCACGUCUUCUUCGCGGUCAGGUACUCACUAUCUCCUCUCUCAUUAUCUCUCUUCUUCCCAUUUAUCACCAUCUCACCAAGUGUUUAUCAAUACCAUCACUCGUAGCGUCGAACCUACUUCUUUUGCCCAGGCCAACCUUGAUCCUCGUUGGCAAGCUGCCAUGCAGUCUGAACUUGCUGCACUUGAACAAAACCAUACCUGGACACUCACUUCCCUGCCUCCUGGCAAACGUGCUAUCGGCAGCAAGUGGGUUUACAAGAUCAAACAUCGCUCUGAUGGCUCCAUAGAGCGCUAUAAAGCGCGUUUGGUUGUCAAAGGUUACACGCAAAUUGAAGGCCUAGACUAUUCUGAAACAUUUGCACCGGUGGCCAAACUUACCACUGUUCGUUGUUUAUUAGCCGUGGCUGCUCAACGCCACUGGCCCCUCCACCAGCUCGAUGUCCAGAAUGCUUUUCUCCAUGGUGAUUUGGACGAAGAAGUUUUCAUGUCUCCACCUCCUGGACUUCGUCGACAAGGGGAGAACUUGGUUUGUCGACUCCAUAAAUCCCUCUAUGGCUUGAAGCAGGCUUCCCGUCAAUGGUUUUCAAAAUUUUCUCAAGCCAUUCAACUCGUGGGGUUCAAACAAUCAACUGCAGACUACUCAUUGUUCACCUGCACUACUGCCCAUUCCAUUACAGUGGUUCUCAUCUAUGUUGAUGACAUGAUCAUUACAGGGAACAACCAUGAGGCUAUUCAACGUUUAAAACAAUUUCUUCAUCAUCAGUUUCGCAUUAAGGACCUCGGACAUCUCAAAUAUUUUCUUGGGAUCGAAGUGGCUCGUUCACAACAAGGCAUUUCUAUCUCACAAAGGAAAUAUAUUUUGGACAUACUGGACGAUGCUGGACUAUUAGGGGCAUGUCCGGUGGAUUUUCCCAUGGAACAAGAUUUGAAGUUGAGGCCAACGGAUGGUGAGUUAUUGAAGGAUCCAACCAGAUAUAGAAGGAUCGUGGGACGACUCAUUUACCUCACCAUAACAAGGCCAGAUAUCACAUUUUCUGUCCAAAAUCUUAGCCAGUUCAUGAACCAACCACGCAAGCCUCAUCUUGAAGCUGCUAUACGAGUCUUGAAAUACCUCAAAGGGACUCCAGGACAAGGUCUAUUUUUUCCAUCUACAGAUGCAUUACAAUUGAGUGGUUACUGUGAUGCUUCAUGGGCAUCAUGUCUAACGACUAGAAGGUCCGUGACAGGUUAUUGUGUGUUUUUAGGGAAAUCACUUAUCUCCUGGAAGACUAAAAAACAACAUACGGUUUCACGAUCGUCUGCAGAGGCAGAAUAUAGAUCAAUGGCUGCAAUCACUUGUGAACUUACAUGGCUUCGUUAUCUGUUACAAGAUUUACAGGUCUCCCAUGUAGCUCCAGCUCAUGUUUACUGUGACAAUAAGGCAGCUUUACACAUUGCAGCUAAUCCAGUAUUCCACGAGCGAACUAAACAUAUCGAAUUAGAUUGUCACUUGGUCCGAGAAAAGUUACAUUCAGGAAUGAUUGCAACAAGGUUCACACCUUCAAAGCAUCAGUUGGCCGACAUAUUUACAAAAGCGUUAGGAAAGGCAACGUUUCAUUCUCUUCUCAGCAAGUUGGGCAUCCAAAACAUUCAUGCUCCAACUUGAGGGGGAGUGUUAAAGGAACAGAAAUCACUCAAUCUGUACAAGGUGGAUAGCAGGAAUGUAGCAUGUGGAUGCACAUUCCUGGACAGUUUGGACAGCUGCAUGAGGAUACCAAAAUCCUUGUCAGAAAGGGUUUGCACAUGGUGGAUGCACAACAUGGACGUGUCAGUUACAUCAUGGGCAGCAAGGAUGCAGCAAGGAUGCCCAUUCCCUUUUAUAUUUAAUUAUUGCAUGCGUGCUAUCAUUGUAUGUAUAUAUAUAUUAGCUGUUUUCAUUUAGGACAGAUUUGAAUAAUAAGAGCAUUCUUCCAUUCCAAUUUCAUAGAAUUUCGCGACUGCAUCGACGUGUUAGAAGGAGAGCUCGAAGACAAGCCCUUCUUUGAGGGGGAGACCCUCGGAUUCGUGGACGUGGCGCUUAUUCCAUUCUAUAGCUAGUUUCUUGUGUAUGAAAAAUUUGGCAACUUCAGUGUUGAGACAGAGCACCCAAAGUUUAUUGCCUGGGCCAAGAGGUGCACGGAGAAGGAAAGCGUGUCCAAGUCGCUUCCCGAGCAGGAAAAGGUCUACGAUUUUGUCACACUUAUAAGGAAAAAGUUUGGAAUUGAUAGAUUUUGCUAGCUCAUUUGGUUUUUUCUGUAUUUCAAGAUUCAACCUCUUUUGGGUUGUUGAAAUAGAAUAAAAGGGCACUUGACCAAGCCUUGUACUGUACGAGCACUUUAUUGUGUCUCUGGUCAUAUGUUUAUUUUGCUUCUCUAGUCAAAUUAUUAUACUGUCGUCAACUUAUUAUGGUAAGGAAUCUAAAUCUACUUCAUCAAAUUUCCUAUUUUGUAACCAGUCCAUAUCGAACGGUAAAUUAUUGGUUGUCACCAGUUGCAUUUAAUCAUGAGUUUAUCUCUCUUAUCAAGUGACAAAGAUUCAUAGUUGUAUGCAACCAAUUAUACAGUGAAUUUUCUCCUAUCCAACUUUGACUUAACAUUUUUCAGUCCCAUGAGAGCAUGUGCAGCAGACACAACAAAGGAUCUUACGUGAACAUCUCGACAGAAAACCAAACUGAAAAGGACAUGAACUAAAAGAACGCAUCCUAACAGUCAUCAAAAGAUUUUUUUUUUAACAUCUCAUACACCAUUUUAAGGUCAGCAAGAGAUUUCGACAUGCUCUCCCUCUGCAAGCACCUAUUUGCCCAUGCAAUGAUCUUGGCACUCUGCUUCUAUGCUUAAGUUUCCACAGCUCUCAAAUACAUAAAACCUCUUCCGACUCCGCCAUUGUUGUCUUGACGCACAAACUUCUUGCAGAUGAAUUUGCUUCUUGCCAAUAUCUGACACCUGCGUUUCAGUCUCACUUAUAUUGGCCGAUUCUUAUUUCAUAACCGGUAUGAAAUCAGUCAAUAAUAUCUUCUACAUAUACAUUUUUGUUCCUGUAAUUUGUUUCAUAUUUCAUUUUCGUCCAUACAGUGCACACUUGGUCAACAACUGAUUUGUUCAUUCCUAUACGAACCUACAUCAUGGGAUCCCAUGCACAUAAGUUACGCAUGAAUUGGAUAUAAUCUUGGGCAAUCGGCUACAAUACACAUGUUUUGACAUUUGGUUGCACCAUUGAUUACACUUUCUAAAAUUGCUCUUUUGAUCAAUUUUGCAUGUUAAAAAUUCAUAGUGCUCUUCAUUAAUCAGAAAGGAGGCAAAAAUACAGCGAGGCUCUAAUGACACCGCCAUUUCGAUAUUGAACCACCACUCAGACUAGAACACCACAAUGACACCACAAUUACACUUCAAGAAAAAACAACCAAAACCUUAUUUUCAAAGAACUCCAUUUAACAAAAAGGGACUUACAUUUCAAUUUGAUUUAAACCAAAAUUCUUAGGAUUUUGAACCACCAGUGCAACAAUAACAAUCUGACGACCCACAACGACACUCCAAUGAUACUCCCCAUUUUCUAAUUUGAACUAGCACAACUACAACAACAAUCUGAUGAAGCCACAACGACACUCCAAUGAUACUCCCCUUUUUAUGAUUUUGAACCAACAUAGCCACAACAACAACCUGUUGAUGCCACAACGACACACCCCCAUUUUUUGAUUUCGAACCACCUCAGCCACAACACUUUGUUCAAGGAACCCUCUCCUUCUUCAUUCCCUAACUACCACAACCAAAUUUCAAAUACAAAAAAUAAAAAAAUUGGGCUAAAGCAAGAUGAAAGAAAGAGAGAGAGAGAGAGAGAGAGGAAGAAGAAGAAUGGAUAUGGGAGGUGGAGAAAUAAGAAGCUUACCUCCUUUCAUGGUGUUCCAGAUGAUAUAUACCGCUCCACAUUUGAUUAGUCAAGACAGCGCAAUCGAAGAAUGGAUUUGUGAGUGUUGGUGGUUUUUUAUUUUUAUUUUUUAUCAAUGAAGGACAUGAUGACCAAUGAAAAGAUCAACGAAGGGUAGUGUGGACUUUUCACAGGAAAAAUUGAUCAAAUGAACAAUUUUUUAAGAGUGGUGUUAUGCCCACCCCAAUGUCUUAUCUCCCCAUCCAUCUUAUAUUUACACCCACCAUAAAAAAAGAAAAAAAAAAUAUAAACUCUAUUCCCACCCACCAUUAUUUCCAAAAUAACCCUUGCUUUAAAAAGUAAUUAUAGUUGCCCUAUAAUAUUUUGAGGUCAUAAUUAGAUCUAUCCUCUAACAAAAUCACUAAACUAAAAGCUAGUGACAGUAACUCAUAAGUAAAUAUUACUAUAAAAGCGACCAAGAGUGAUAGUAAAACUUAUGCGAAAUACAUAUUUAUAGUCGAGGUCAGAUCUGCUCCAUGUCAAGGCUCCUUACCGAACUUGACCCAAAUUAGGACAAUAGCACAAAGGUAAAUAACUCAAAAUCAGGGGUAAGUUACACAAACUUACAACCAAGGCCCAAAAUACCCAAAGCAAAACGGGGCCAACCAAACACACCAAAACAAGCCCAACCAAAAGUUGGGACCGAAGAAAACAGAAAACUAGAAACACUGCUGCCGCGGCAGUGCUUGAGACUAUUAUAGUAAUAACUCAAAAGAAUUAAAGUAUGAGCUCGAGGUGGGUCCCGACACAAAGACUCCACCUGCUUGUUCAAUUUCGUCAACCAAAAAUUGAUAUCUUUUCCAGCAAGAAAAUAGAAUCAUUAUAAAACAAUAUAUCGUCCGACUAUUAGAACACGUAUUAUAUUAUAUUAUUACAAAUCAACAUAAAUUAACAACGAAAGCUAGGAAAUGCAGAUUUGAUGUCGAGCGCAGUGACAUAAUCACCAUCCAAUUGGAAGACUCUCGAAUAUCAUCUCCAUGUCCGGAGUCUUUGACGACUGCUUCUCCUCUGCAUUUUCUGUCUAUAACUACGCGAUCUGCUAGUCUGUUUCUACCACCACUACUCACACUCACAAUCGCAGCUUUUUGUAACCUUAGAAACUUUGUUCAAAUCUGAUCAACCUUCAAUGGCGGAUGAGGUGGUGUUGCUGGAUUUCUGGCCAAGCCCAUUUGGGAUGAGACUGAGGAUUGCUCUGGCUGAGAAGGGCAUUGUGUAUGAGUACAAAGAUGAGGAUAUUUGGAACAAGAGCCCACUGUUGCUGCAGAUGAACCCGGUUCACAAGAAGAUCCCGGUUCUCAUUCACAAUGGAAAGCCCGUCUGUGAGUCCCUCAUUGCGCUUCAGUACAUUGAUGAGGUUUGGAAUGAUAAGGCUCCGCUCUUGCCCUCCGACUCUUACCUCAGAGCCCAGGCCAGGUUCUGGGCUGACUUCGUCGACAAGAAGGUGAUUUUUACUCAUUAAUUUACUUACUUAUUUGUAGUAUUUUUGUUUUGUUUUGAAUAUGAAUUAUAAGAUUGUAAUGAUUUUACUACUUAGGGUUUGUAUUAGAAGGAAAAUUAAACGGAAACUGGAUCUCUGUUUAUGUUUUCGGGGUUAAUAGUAUGUUCGCUUUUAAAAUAUAGUUCACUAAGAUUUCAUGUUACGGUUCCGGGUCUAAGGUUUAGGGAUUGUGAAUUUGUGAUGUAUAUAUUAGAAAGAUAUAAGCAGAGGAUCUGAACUUGCUCAAAAUAAUUAUUAAUUUUCUUGGAAUUUUGGGAUGGUGAAAUGCAGAUAUAUGAGAUUGGGAGGAAGCUGUGGACAACCAAAGGAGAAGAACAGGAUGCAGUAAAAAAAGAAUUUCUCGACUGCAUUGGCGUGUUAGAAAGAGAGCUUGGAGACAAGCCUUUCUUUGGGGGGAAUACCCUCGGAUUCGUGGACGUGGCGCUUAUUCCAUACUAUAGCUGGUUUCUUGUGUAUGAGAAAUUUGGCAACUUUAGUGUUGAGGCAGAGCACCCAGAAUUUAUUGCCUGGGUUAAGAGGUGCAUGGAGAAGAAGAGCGUGUCCAAGUCGCUUCCCGAGCAGGAAAAGGUCUACGAUUUUGUUAUGCUUGUAAGGAAAAAGCAUGGAAUUUAGUAGAUUUUGGUGGAAGCCUGCAAGAAGCAAUUGAUGAUCAAUGUCAUUCCAUCUUGUUCGGUCGUAUGGUUGUUCUGUCUUUCAAGAUUCAACUUGUUUUGGGUUGUUGAAUAAGAAUAAAAGGGCACUUGACCAAGCCUUGUACUGUACGAGGCACUUUAUUGUGCCUCUGGUCGUACGUUUAUUUUGCUUUUGUCGUCAAGUUAUCACACUUGUCAACUUGUUAUGUAAGGGAUCUAAAUCUACUUUAUCAAAUUUCUUAUUUUGCAAGCACUUCAUAUCGACCAAACGGAUUAUUGGUUGUCACCAGUUGUAUUUAAUUAUGAGUCUAUCUCUCUUAUUAGGUGAUAAUGAUUCAAAGUUAAUUGAUCAAUUCUUGUUUCACAACCAUAUAGAAUCAACCAGUAAUAUCUUCUACAUGUACAUUUUUGUUCCUGUAAUAUGAUUCAUAUUUCAUUUUCGUCAAUACAAUGCACCCCCGGUCAACAAGUGACUUGUCCGUACCUAUAUGAACCUACUGUUAGAGUAUGAGUGUGAUUCUUACAGUUUAGUAAUAAUCAUUGUUAUUUUAGAUUGGUACAAAGAGGUCUUAAUGUGUUUAUAAGAGUUAAUUCAACUUUGGUUUGGAUUGAAACUCUACUGUUGGCUUGAGAAUAGAACUCAUACUUAUACAAGGAUUUGGUCUUGUAUUCCUUGUAGGAUUGUAAUAGGGCAAUCUAUGUUUAGUAUAAAAACAUAAGCCAUUGCUCUCACAAAACAUAUGCUCAAUAUUGAACUAAGACCUAUUGUUAGUUUGAGUACUUUUGGUUUUGCAAGAGAGGAGAAGGUGCACUGUUUAGAAGUCUGCUUUGGCUUCUUCUUCUGCUGCUUUUACGGGUUAGUUUGUCAUUGUGUUUAUUAAAUUGUGAUUUUAAUACUUAUAUAAAUUUGUGGUUCAUGAGCUUAAUCUCUUAACUUAUAUUUUGAUGAGUUUAAUCUUAUACCUACUUCAUGAGAUCCCCAUGCACAUAAGUUUAAGUUAUGCAUUAAUUUGAUAUAAUCUUGGGCAAUUAGCCACAGUAGAUAUGUUUCGAUAUUUGAUUGCAUUUUUUAUUACACUUUCUAAAAAAUUGCUCUUUUGAUCAAUUUUGCUGUGAAAAGUGCCCUUCAUUAAUAAAAAAAGGGUGCAACAAUAUAGACACCCAACUUCCAACGAGACCUCCCUUCGUUUUUUAUGUUUAACUACCACUUAGACAACACCACAAUGAUGCCACAACUACACUCUAAUUAUUAAAAAAAAAAAAGACUAAAAACUCAUUUUCAAAAACUUCAUUAACCAAAAAGGACUUACAUUUCAAUUUGAUUUAAACCAAAAGCCUCAGGAUUUUGAACAACCACUGCAACAACAAUAAUCUGAGAAGCUACAAACUCCAACGAUACUCCCCAUUUUAUGAUUAUGAACCCAGCACAACCAUAACAACAAUCUAAUGACACCACAACGAUGCACCUCCUUUUAUGAUUUUGAACCAACACAACCACAACAACAAUCUAAUGACGUCCAAAUGAUACACCCCCAUUUUUUUAUUUUGAACAACCUCAGCCGCAAUAAUUCAUUGAAGGAACCCUCACCCUCUUCAUUCCCCAACCACCAAAACCAAAUUUUGAAUCCAAAAACCGAAUAAUGAGCUAAAGCAAGAAGAGAGAGAGGAAGAAGAAGAAGAAUGGAUCAGAGAGGUGGAGCAAUAAGAAGCUCACCAACUUCCAUGGUGUUCUAGAUGUUCUUUGCCGCUCCAAAUUUGAUUAGUCAAAGAGGAGCAACCAAAGAAUGGAUCUGAGAAUGGAUUUGAGAGUGUCGUUGGGUGUUGGUGGGGUUUUUUUUUUAUCAAUGAAGGGCAGUAUAAACUUUUUACAGGCAAAAUUGAUCAAAAGAGCAAUUUAAAAAAAAAAGUGUGAUCAAAAGUCCAACCACAUGUCAAAACAUGUCAAAUGUGGCUAAUUGCAAUAUAAUCUUCUAAGGGCAUAAUUGAUCUAGCCUCUAACAAAACCACUAAAGCUAGUGAUGAUAACUCAUAAGUUAUAUUGGCCAAAACAUCGACCGACGACUUAUUACCAUAAAAGCAGUCAAGCAUGAUAGUAGCCCAUAUUGCGAAAUAAAUUUAUACUUAUAGUCGAGGUCAUAUGUACUCCUCGUCGAGGCUUCUGACCGAACUUGAUUUUCUUGUGCUAUUAAUUGUCGACACUUUUGUUAUUAUUGUGGUGUGAUUGUUGUCACUUACCAUUACUGAGUUAGAGACCUAUGAGUUGAUCGGUAAAUAUAAUUUAAAAGUGUGUUUUCACCAAUGUAAUAUAUAUAUAUAUAUAUAUAUAUAUAUAUAUAUAUAUAUAUAUAUAAAUGGUUUCUCUAGCAUUACACUCUAAAGAAAUUGGAUCCUCGCCGGAUCCUCUUUGUGAGGAUUUUGGGAAUCCUCAAAUCACAUUCGUUCAUCAUACAUCGUGUGGUAAAAAAUUAUUAUAAUUUUUUAUAUUUAAAAUUGAAUAUAAACAAUACUUGACAAAAAUUGACCGCACAAUAUACAAUAAAUAGAUGUGAUUUUGGUAAGUUCUCCAAUGCGAGAAAGCCACAUAACUCAAAUGAUCGAAUGCUUGAAGAUUAACUAGGCAUCAAAUGGUCAGGGGCAGCAACCACUUUUGCACUUAACAGUUCGCUCAUCUGACACUUCAUCUUCAACAGCUCCGAUCUCGGUAGCUCCAUCCUCGACUGCUCCAUCUACGGUAGCUGAGAAAUCAAAAUCAAGCAGUUUCCUUAUUUUUGGCAAGCAGCACAAGCAAUGGCCCCUACCACACCACCUCCUUGGCCCAUGCCAAGCCUACUCCUGACCCCUACCAGCCGACGUGCCGCACCACCUCGACGACUGCCCCGUGGCAGCACCUUCCAAGAAGAAGACAAUGAGAAUUAAGUUUUUCUUACAUUGGUGCGGCGUGAAGAAGACAAAGAAAUCAACGGAAGACAGUUCUUUGCACGGGCAAGCAAAGAAGAGUGCUAGGGGAGGGGGAACAAAUAUUCUCUAGUUUUCUCUCUUUCUUGUAGGGAUAAAUAAUUGCCCUCCAAAGUUGAUUUAAUCCCCUACUUAAGGUAGGCUUAAAUAGGCUUUGAAGGUGAUUUAUUUCCCUUUCCUAGAAGAAUCUAAUUCCAAGUCCAAGAGAGAAUCUACAUCAAAGUUGGAGAUCUCUACAACUACUGCCCUUUCCUGCGAGCAGCCCAGCAGGUGUGGGGGCAGCAAAAAAUAAUCAAGAGACGACACGUGGAUUUUUGGGCAGAAGGGACCAAAUUAUCCUUGAGGAGCACCAGAAUUCUUACGCGAGAGCAGUGGACAAUCAUCCCACAAUCAAGUCAAAAGUGCCCAAAAUAGUUAUUUAUUCAAAACCUAUUUCAUCCAUCUUCUCCACAAGGUAACCCCCAAAACAUUCAUUUUAAAUUAUGUUAAUUAGCCAAUUAAUAGAUUUAUUACCUAAUUAAUCUAUUAAUGGCUAAUUAAAUUACCAAUUAACUACAAAAUACACUCAAAAACACCACAAAGGGCUGGCCACCUACUCCCCCAAGGAGGCCCACCAUGCCUUAUAUGUAUACUACCCCAUUUUCUCUAAAAACCUAGGUCUACAUUCUUGCUAAAUACUCAAAAUUCUCCAAACACCACUUUUCCCUCAAAAUUCUAACUUUGGCAUUGAAGGUUCUUUGGCCAAAGAGUCCCCCCCCCCGCCCCAUUCAUCGUGGGCACGUGAGACUAUUGGCCUUGACCUAAGGUGUUAUUUGUUUUGUAGGUACAAUUUUGUUCAAGAACAAGGAGGAAGAAAUUUGCGUGUACAGACAUGACAUAUGAUUAUCUUACUUGUAAACAAGAAAAUAGUUAGGCUUUUUUCUAACGUUUUUAUGAGUGGUAUCAGAACCAUUGGGGGAGACGAAGGUUGCAGAACCAUUGGAAUUUCUUAUCAAUCUAGGGUUUCUUUCCCUUUUAAUUAUAUUUUUAAUUUUCCAAAUUUUAAUUUUUUUUUCAGUUAUAUUUUAUCUUUAAUAUUAGUUAAAAUUCACAUAAGUAUCCAUGUCAUUUAAUGAAUAAAUAAGAACCAUUGGAUGCUAUGUAAUCAAAAGGCUUAAAAAAAUGUAAAAGCAUUUGUCCCUUGAUCCUAUCUCAUAUAUAUAAUUUAUGGUUUCUCUAGCAUUACACUUAUAAAAAAUUGGAUCCUCGCCGGAUCCUCAAAUCACAUCCGUUCAUCGUACAACGUGCAGUAAAAAAUUUUGUAAAUUUUUUUAUUUAAAAUUAAAUAUAAACAUCCUGACGAAAACUGAUCGCACGAUAUACAAUGAAUGAAUGUGAUUGUAGGAUCUUAACAAACAAUGCGGAGUUUUAGGUAAAAUGACUCAAAAGAAUUAAAGUAUCAACUAGAGGUGGGUCCUGACACAAAGACUACCUCCUUGUACAAGUUCGUCUACCUAAAAUUGAUAUCUUUUACACCAAGAAUUUAGAAUUAUUAUAAGGGAAUAUAUUCAUAUGCUAUAGUCCGACUAAUAAAAACACGUAUUAUAUAUUAUUGCAAAUCAACAUGCAUUAACAAAGAAAUAUAAAAGGAAAAUGCCGGAUUUGAUGUCGAGAGCAUUGACAUAAUCGCCGUCCAAUUCGAAGAUUCUCGAAUCUAUAUGUACAAGAAAGGAAGAGAGCUUGAAUAUCUCCAUGUCCGGAGUCUUGGACGGCUGCUUCUCCUCUGCAUUUUAUGUCUAUAAAUACUCAAGGGGUGUGCUAUCCACACACCCCAUUUUACUUCUCACACACCUCUUGAUGAUUUCUGUCCGUUGAUCUUCUUCAAUUCAUCCGAUCUGACGGCCGAAAAUUAAAAAGGUGUGUGAGAAGUAAAAUGGGGUGUGUGGAUAUCACACCCCAUACUCAAUCUGCUAGUCUGCUUCUACACGCACUACUCACAGUCACAGUCACCGCUUUUUGUAACCUUAGAAAUUUUGUUCAAAUCUGAUCAGCCUUCAAUGGCGGAUGAGGUGGUGUUGUUGGAUUUCUGGCCAAGCCCAUUUGGGAUAAGACUGAGGAUUGCUCUGGCUGAGAAGGGCAUUGUGUAUGAGUACAAAGAUGAGGACUUGUGGAACAAGAGCCCACUGUUGCUGCAGAUGAACCCGGUUCACAAGAAGAUCCGGGUUCUCAUUCACAAUGGAAAACCGGUCUCCGAGUCCCUCAUUGCUCUUCAGUACAUUGACGAAGUUUGGAAUCAUAAGGCUCCACUCUUGCCCUCUGACUCUUACCUCAGAGCCCAGGCCAGGUUCUGGGCUGACUUCGUCGACAAGAAGGUGAUUUUUACUCAUUAAUUUACUUAUUUGCUGUAUUUUUGUUUUGUUUUGAAUAUUUUUGGUUUGAAACAAUUGAAAACAUGGGAAAUAGAACAUCUGGUUAUAUUUUUUAUGUUUAAAUGUUGAGAGUAUCUAGCAUAAGUGCUUAAAACCUCACGCGUUGCUAAUUCAUUUUUGGUUAAAUGCUUACGGAUAUUUGAGCUGGUAAUUAAAACAAUGUUGUUUUAGAAUUUUAAGAUUAGAAGUGUUUAGGGUGUAACGGUUUUACCAUUUAGGAUUUGUAUUAGAAGGAAAGCUAAAUGGAAACUAGAUCUCUGUUUAUGUUUUCAAGGUUAAUAUUACGCUCGCUUUUAAAACAUAGUUAAUUAAGGUUUCAUGUUACAGUUUCGGGUUUAAGGUUUAAGGUUUGUGAUGUAUAUUUAAAAGGGGAGACUUUGGAUGCGGUCCCUAGUUAUGAACAAUCUUUGACUGAAACCUUAUUGGUUUUCAAUUUUUGAUCCAAGUCCCUGAAAUUAAUUGAUAAUUUAUUUCUAUGUACGUUACUAUAUUUUUUUAAUUAAAAAUUAAAAUUUAUAGUUGUUUAUAGUAAUGAGAUUUAAAUAAAAAAACCAUAAUUUGUGGGAUUAAAAAAAUAUAAAAAUAUAAAUAUACUAUUGUGUGUGUGUGUGUGUGUGUAAACAUGGGUACAUUCAUAAAAAUAACCAAAAAAUUAUUGUAUCAAAACAUGGAUACAUUCUUCAAAAUGGGUACAUUUAGCAAAAAAAAAAAAUGGGUACAAAUAAAUAAAAAAAUAUAUGGGUAUACAAUACAAAUAAAACUUUAAAAAAUAUGGGCACAAAAAGAAUUUAAUAUAUGGGUACAAAUUAAAACUGAAAGGAAAAUUGGUACAAAUUAAAAAAGGGUUGCAAAUUAAAAAUGGGUACAAACUAAAAAUAAAAAAUAUAUGAUAAAAAAAUUUAGCCAUAAGUAAAUAAAUACUAAUUGUAACAUUUUUAAUAUUAAAUGAAUAUAUUUAGAAAUAAAAAAUAUUUUAUUAUUGAAAUAAUUAAUGAUAUUAUUAAUACAAAGGACCUUGAUCAAAAAUUGAAAAGUAAUAAGGUUUUAAUCAAUAGAGUAGUAAAAAUAAGGAUGAAAACCUAAUUACUCCAUUUAAAAGAUAUCAGCGGAAGAUCUGAACUUGCUCAAAACAAUGUAUAUUAAUUUCCCUGAAUUUUUGGGGAUGUGAAAUGCAGAUGUAUGAGAUUGGGAGGAAGCUUUGGGCAACCAAAGGAGAAGAACAGGAUGCAGCAAAAAAAGAAUUUCUCGACUGCAUUGGCGUGUUAGAAAGAGAGCUUGGAGACAAGCCUUUCUUUGGGGGGAAUACCCUCGGAUUCGUGGACGUGACGCUUAUUCCGUACUAUAGCUGGUUUCUUGUGUAUGAAAAAUUUGGCAACUUUAGUGUUGAGGCAGAGCACCCAGAAUUUAUUGCCUGGGUUAAGAGGUGCAUGGAGAAGGAGAGCGUGUCCAAGUCGCUUCCCGAGCAGGAAAAGGUCUACGAUUACGCCAUGCUUAUAAGGAAAAAGCUUGGAAUUGCAUAGAUUUUGGUGGAAGCCUGCAAGAAGCUAGUGAUGAUCAGUGUCAUUCCAACUUGUUUGGUCGUGUGGUUGUUCUGUCUUUCAAGAUUCAACCCGUUUUGGGUUGAUGAAUUAGAAUAAAAGGGCACUUGACAAGCUUUGUACUGUAAGAGACACUUUAUUGUGCCUCUGGUCGUAUGUUUAUUUUACUUCUGUAGUCAACUUAUCACACGUGUCAACUUGUUAUGUAAGGGAUCUAAAUCUACUUGAUCAAGUUUCUUAUUUUGUAACCACUUCAUAUCCCACGAUGGAUUAUUGGUUGUCACCAAUUGUGUUUAAUUAUGUGUCUCUCUCUUAUCAGGUAACAAAGACCUAAAUUUAUUGGUCAAUUCUUGUUUCAUAACCGUACAGAAUCAACCAGUAAUAUCUUCUACAUAUACAUUUAUGUUACUGUAAUUUGAUUCAUAAAUCAUUUGUGUCAAUACAGUGCACACUUGGUCAACAAGUGACUUGUCCGUACCUAUAUGAACGUACUUCAUGAGAUCCCCGUGCACAUAAGUUUAAGUUUAUGCAUAAUUUGAUACAAUCUUGGGCAAUUAGCCACAAUAGACAUGUUGCGAUAUUUGGUUGCACUUUUGAUUACGCUCCCUAAAAAUUGCUCUUUUGAUGAAUUCUGCCUGUGAAAAGUUCAUAGUGCCCUUCAUUAAUCGAAAAGGGUACAACAAUACGACCCCCCUCCUCGCCUUUUGUGACGUUGAACCACCACUUAGACAACACCACAAUGAUGCCACAACUACACCCCAAUAAUUUAAAAAAAAAAAACAACCAAAAACUCAAUUUCGAAGAACCUGAUUUAACCAAAAAGGACUUACAUUUUAAUUUGAUUUAAACAAAAAGUCUCAGGAUUUUGAACAACCACUGCAACAACAAUAAUCUGAGAAGCUACAACGACACUACAACGAUACUCCCCAUUUUAUGAUUUUGAAACCAACAUAACCAUAACAACAAUCCAAUGACACCACAAUGAUGCUCCUCCUUUUAUGAAUUUGAACCAACAUAAUCACAACAACAAUCUAAUGACGUCCAAAUGAUACAUCCCCAUUUUUUUAUUUUGAACCACCUCAGCCGUAAUAAUUCAUUGAAGAACCCUCACCUUCUUCAUUCCCCAACCACCAAAACAAAAUUUCGAACCCAAAAAUCGAAUAUGAGCUAAGGCAAGAUGUGAGAGAGAGAGAGAGAGAGAGAGAGAGAGAGAGAGAGAGAGAGAAGAAUAAGAAGAAGAACGGAUCAGAGAGGUGGAGUAAUGAGAAACUGAGUCUUGUUGGGUGUUGUUGGUUUUUUCAUCAAUGAAGGGCAGUAUGGGCUUUUCACAUGCAAAAUUGAUCAAAAGAGCAAUUUUUAAAAAAUGGGAUAAAAAGUGCAACCACAUAUCAAAACUUGUCUAACGUGGCUAAUUGCAAUAUAAUCUUCUAAGGUCAUAAUUGAAUCCAACCUCUUAACAAAACCACUAAAGCUAGUGAUGGUAACUCAUAAGUUAUAUUGGCCAAUACAUCGACCGACGACUUAUUACUAUAAAAACAGUUAAGCAUGAUAGUAACUGACACGCCCUGAUCUUGAUGUCCGAGGGACAUUAGGAUGGUCACGUGCUGGUCGACACCCGAGGGUGACGAAAGCCAUUUAAUGAAUGCAUGUGCUAAGAACAUGUAAAACAUGUGUAUAAAUUUUGUGCGUGACUAUGCAAGUAAUACUCAAAUAUACGUCUUACAAAAUACCGUAGUAAUAUUCAAUUGCCAACAAUGAAUAUAAUGCUAAUGCUUGACAUGUUCAGAGCAUACAUGUAAUUCAUAGUACAAGCGGAAGAUAAAAUAGAGAGGUGUUAUUACAAUAGAAGUCAAAGUAGAGAGAAUGAUGCGGUAUCACUGGUAGGGGAAUGUGUCGUAUGUCGGAUCGUAUUCCUCGUUCCUAUGUCCUGAUGGGGUGCAAAACAACCAUGAGUGGACUAAGCUGAUAUAUAUGUAAUAAAAUAGUUAUUCAACAUACUAACCCCCAAAGUUUUAGGAAAACUAAUAGCAUAAUAGGUGAUAGAUUUGCCGAAAACCCUAGCUUGCCAUAAGACCUUUCAUAAAACAUAUAUCGUAUAUGGUAUGCUAACUAGUGGUAUCAGUAUCGCCCGAAGGCAUAUAGAACUCUUCCUUCACAAGUAUCAAUCACCAGUAGGCUCAUACAGCACCCAACCCGAAGGUCAAUAUAAGUAUCAUCGGCCGUAGGCAGGACAGUGACCACUAGAUAUGCACAAAAGCAGUGAAUAUACUCUUUCCAAACAUAGGUACAUAUAUCUCAAAAUCAUCUUCAGAGUAUAAAGUCAUCCAUCAUCUAUACUAUAAAGAAGUGAGUGAAAGCAUGUUUUAAAUAGUAUAUAGUCAUCCAUCAUAUACACUACAAAGAACAUCAGUUCAAUAAAAUAUGAUAUUUCAAAAUAUUCGCAGUAAGCAUAAUAUCUCAUAAAAUGUUUCAUAAAAUGUAAUCAUUAAAUCAUGCUUUUCAUGUAUGUAUUUAUACUAUUAAAACAUGCAUUUUAGAAGGAGUCUACUCACAGAUACUUUGUUGUCAUAGAGCCGUAAGAAAUAAGAAAGAUGAAAUCGCUGUUAAUAAUUGCACCUAAGCAUAUAAAGGGUACAAUUAAUAAAACUAUACUCAAAAGAUUGAAUUUCAAAAAAACGGACGUCAUAAAACCUAAAAGGGGACCUCGGGUACCCCUACGUGCCUCACGCGCCGCCGUGGGUCGCUGAAAAAUUCGUCGGCACCGGUGCCCCUUCACACACAGGCCCACACGCCUUCACUCGUUGCCUGGGGUUCCUAGGUUCUCUGGUUUUGGGCCUGAGCUUUGGGCUUGGGUCGAACGGUUUCUAAGCUUAAAAGAUUGGGCCUUAUGGGCCGAAGGCCUAAGGGCUUGGAGUCCAAGGGUUUUCAAAAGGGUUGGGGUCUUAGGGUUAACGGGCCAGAGGCCCAAUUUCCACUCGGUCUCAGCGCCGGUUCUUUGGGGUUUUUGGGUUAGGGUUUCAAGGGAAUUGGGCUCAAAUGCAACAACCCAAAGACACAAAUCUACACAACCCUAAGGGCCUGGGUUUGGUGGGUUAAUGGGUUGGGCUUUAAGGCCCGACCCAAAGCUUUUGGCUAAAGGACUUAGGCUUGGGGUUUUGGGUCUAGUCGACCCAAUAGCCUGGUUUCGACGGAAAAAGGAAGCCGGAGCUUCCAAAGCUUCGAUCGGCCUCGAUCUUCUACUCUAGAUGCAAUAUACCAUCAAAUGGUGGCCGGAGUUGGCCGGAAUCUGUGUUCAAAGGUCACGGGCUCGCCGAGGAGUUUUUGGGUGGACUUUGGGUGUCUCGUGCUUCACAGAGACGAGGGAGAGAGAGAGGGAGAGGGAGCCAACAAUGGUGAUGGUGGUGUACACGUUGGGGAUGUUUUGGGGUGUGUGAGUGUUUCUGUGUCUCGUCGGAGAGAAGAGAGGGUGAACUGUGAGAGAGAUCCAAGACUGAGAUAGAGAGUGAAAGUGAGAGAGAGAGCUUGGGGAGAGGAGAGAGAAAGAGGUAGUGGGUGAGUAGUUGCCACGUGGCAAGCAGAGAGAGGUGGAGAAGUUUAGAAAAUCUGAAAAAUAGGAUUUUGAUUGGGUAAGGAUAGGGGACUAGAAUGUAAAUUUCAAUAAAUCUUUAGGGAAAUUGUGAAAUUUACAAUAAUUUGGGGGUGGGGUUUAAUAGUAACCCAUAUUGCGAGAUAAAUUUAUUCUUAUAGUUGAGGUCAUAAAUUUAUUCUUAUAGUCGAGGUCAUAUCUACUCCUCGUCUAGGCUUCUUGCCGAACUUGAUUUUCUUAUGCUAUUAAUUGUCCAUACUUUUGUUAUUAUUAUGGUGUGACUGUUCUCACUUACUUUUACUGGGUUAGAGACCUAUGAGUUGAUUGGUGAAUAUAAUUUAAAUUUGUGUUUUUCACCAAUGUAAUAUAUAUAUAUAAAGGUUCUAAAAAACGCUAGGCGUUAGUCGGGUGCCGGGCUGGCGCCUAGGCAAGUUUAAGUAAACUUCUUGUAUAUCUUCUAAAUAAGUGCAUAUUGACACUGCAUUGAACUUGUAUAUCAUGCAUCCAAAUGUAAAAACAAAGUGUUAAAUGACAUAACAAGUUCAAUAUGGCAUCACUAUACACGUGUUAAAUGAUAUAACAACUUUCUAAAGAUGUGCCAUAUUUUGUAUAUCUUGUUUAUCACUAGGCAGAUUUAGGUAAUCCUCCCAACCUUCAUAUUUAGUUGACUAAUACAUCAACUCUUUAUUAAUUAAAAUACUAAAUAACAUAACUUAAAUGAACAACAACUAAAAAAAAAAGAAAAGCAAAAUACAAGAAGUAAAAUACAUAUUAACGUAAGAUAAUAACUAAUAUUAAACCCUUGAAAAUGGAUAAACAUAUUUAACACCAGACUCUCGAUACCAUUGCUACAAUAACUCUUGGGUAUGAAUAUUAUAUUAAUAUUUAGAAAAUAGAUUACUUUAGUCUAAAUAAGGCUUUUCAAUUGCACUAUACAAACGAACAGUGUUUUGAACCACAUUUCAGUUUAUUUACAAGAUUGCCACUCGAAUGCUUUUAACCACCUUUCACUUAAUUUACAAAAUUGCCACUUAGGCUUAAAAACCUAUUUUCAGCCGUUGUUUGCAUUUAAUGUUUGACUCAAUAACAGAGAGGGGAGGGGUACAUCACGCCUGACAAAUUGGAGAGAGACAAUCGCUUCCAUUUUUUACUCGAAGAUAGCUGGGUGUGCCUCUGGCGAGCGGAGAGAGGGGGAUAGAGCGACUACAGAGGAGGGAGACACAGAGCCUGACAAAUUGGAGAUAGAUGAGAGCUACGGGUAUGGACUGAGUGAGAGAGAUAUUUAGGUAGGUGCUCUGCCAGGCUCUUUCUGCCGCUAAUCUUGAUGCACACGUGUUGAUGAUCGUGGGAAGGGAAGAACGGUGGUAAAGUUGGCAUUUUCCAUUUCCUUCUCAAACCCUCAUUGCCUCUUCCGUCUCGUAGACCUUGCGAGAAUGACGGUCUCGCCUCCAUCCUAUCCUCGAGUUGUCGCCGUCUCUCUUCUUUAGGUAGGGUGUUGUGCGUGUGCGGUCAUGCUUGAUGAUCAUGGAAGCCAGUGAUUUAGCUUUUCUAUGACAUAGCCUCGACUCUGCUUCCAUCUCCAUUUUCUCUCCUCGCCUUGUCUCUCAGAAAUCACCAACAAGCUUAAAAACCACCAAGCCGUUAGAAAUCUCUUUGAUUCUCUCUCAGAAACUACGAAGCACAACGACCUCUUGUUGAAAAACCGUGAAAUUAGUCCCACUUCGAAGGAAAUUUUAAGCCCGUAAAAGCCUUGGUUUCCUGGUGAGUUCUCCAGCCGAUUUGGAGUGGGUAAUUUUGUGAUUUGCAGUUUAUUUUGGGAAAUGAUUGACGGGUUUGCAGUUCAUUUUACCAUUUCUAGAAUAUUUGCAGUUUAUUUUGGGGGUUUACACUAAAAUUAAGGAAGCAUAUAUGAACGCAAAGGCUCGAGGAUGUACGACAACUUGGAUAUGAUAGGGUACAAGCUAUGACAUUUUUGCAAAUUCAGUUUUUUUUCUUUUCAUUUUAGGGGUUUUUUUUUUUACUAUUUAGUUUUUGGGUUUUGUCUAAUUUUUGUGGUCUGCUUUAUAGAUUGUUCUCUUUGGAAGCUUCUUUCCAGCCUUGCGCUUCUUCUUGCCUGGUGCCUUCUCAUUGAAUAUUGGAGAAUUAAACCACAUGUGUGUGUGUUUUGUCGAUGUAAGAGGAGAACGACAUAAGAACAUUCAUCUUUAUAUAUAUAUAUUGUGCUUUUUCUAACCCAUCAAUUUCUUUUGAGUCAACCAAAUAGUCCCAACUUACAAUUUAUGUUGUGAAGUAUAAUUGUUUGAAAAAUUAAGUAUGCAUGUAUAUUUUAUGUAAGCAUAAAUUUAAUGAUUUACAAAAACUUUUAAUUGUUCCAUCCUAAAUAUCUUCCUUUAUUCUUGAUGCCAUGCUACUUGCUCGACCCUUUCUUGCAUCAGUUGUGUCACCUAAAAUUAAAAUGAAAUGAAAUAGUUUCCCUAAAUGCUUAAUGUUGUGAAUGCUCUAUACUCAUGUGUUUUACAGACGCUCAGUUCAAAAGAACUAGUUGCUGCUUGGGUGAGAGGUGUAUAAUUUCAUUAAAAAAAAAAAAAACUUUUUUGGUUGUUGGUGGUGGUUUAUCUGUAUUUGAUUGGUAAUUUCAACAUUUGAUGAUUCAAUAAUAUUUUGAACUUCCAUUUCUAUUGUCAGAAGAUAACGUCUCCAUCUCGAUUCUGCAUGAUCAAAAUGUACGUUUGGCUAAGACAUCCAUGCUUUUACAAGUAGAGAGGAAGCUGCAAUUAGAAACAACGUUGAGUGACAUUUAAGUCUUCAUUUGACAAAAAAAUAAAAAAAAUAAAAAAAUAAAACAUAAAAACUUGGAUUCUGAUAUCUAUAUUUGUUGUUUUAUUCUAUUGACAAUUCGUUGUUGAUUGGUUUUGUUGCUUUCCUCCACUUCUUAACUCAUAUUCAUUAAUCUACCUAUUUUAUUUGGGUGAUAAGUUCACUCUUUUAAUCUUAUUAGCUAAAUGAAGAUAUAGGGUGUGGUUUUGUUAAUGGCGGUGGAUGAUCUGGAUGAAAGUAUGUAUCUUGGAGAUUUUUUUGCUUACAUAUGUUUAGGCCCGGAUUGAAGAAGUUUUGUGGAAUGAGAUUCUUAUCAGAUUCUUAUACAAAAUUGUUUCUCUGUUUAUGGCAGGUAAUAAAUGUGGUCCAACCAAUGGCUGAUAAAAUGUCAUUGUAUAUAUGCUUUUGUCGAUUUCUGCUACGAUAAUGAGGGAAUCCAGCGGAUCGAGGCCAGUCGAUCUGAGGUUUGUGCUCCUCUAUCCCUUUCUUUCUCUCUUUCUGUGAAUUUCUUGAAAUUGACGACGCACGUUCUGAUUCUUGAUGUGUUUGGGAGAGGAGAAAGCUCUAGAUUAGCUUUGAUCACUUGAAUUUUUUCUUAUUUAGUUCAGCACAGUCGGACUACAUAAUCCUACCAUUGGGCUAUUUCUAGGGAGGGUUUAUGUUUACUUUUGUUAGUAUGUUGACAGUUUGGUAUGUCUAUCAUAUUGAUGGAACUAAAUUGUGAGUUAAUUAUCGUUUAGGUUGUUAAUAGUGUUUGUACAGUUAAGACAACAUGUGUGCUUUAUGCAGAAAGUUCAAAGGUUUCUGUUCCUGGCUUUAGUUUUAAUGUCGAAUAAUCAUUGUUUGAUUACAUUGUAGUAUUAGUAUGUUAUCUUAAUGAUUUCAUAUGCUUCUCUUUACGUUAAUUGUGUUGGAUUUCUACAUUUUUGGCUUUUGUUUUCUUUAAUUAAAUGAAGUUUGUAAUGUAUUUGGACAGGUACCAAUCUUCUUAAUGAAGAUUAGAGCAAUCAAAUGGAGCUUCAUAGGAUAAGUUUGUGAGGGUGAGUUUUUUUUUUUUUUUUUUUUUUGUUACUGUAUUUUUCUCCUUCGUGGCAUGCUUCUUGAUGGUUUUACUUUUACUUAAGUCUUCAUUUCGGUUCCUUGCCCAGGUUAUACAAAACUCAGUUGGUGUAAACCUUGCUGUAGAUGUAUGGAGUCUUGGGUGCAUUGUCUUGGACAUGGCUACGACAAAAACCACAUUGGAGCCAGUAUAAAGGGGUAUGAAUUUAAAUCUGAAACGAAUACUUUUGUAUAUUUGGUUUUGUAGUUAAUUUCACCUUCUGGGUUUAUGCUGGGUUUUAGUACAAUUUUAAAGGGAGAUAUAAUCCGGUGAGGUUUCUCAAGUCCAUGCAGAAGGCAGGGCUCUAUGCUCACCUUCGCAUUGGCCCUUAUGUUUGUGUUGAGUGGAACUUUGGGUAAUUCUUUUUCUCUAGAUCUAUAAUUUUGGCUUUUUUUCUUUCUUAUUUUUUAGGAUUUUCCACUCUCAUUCUAUUUUCCUCUCCUAAUUUUAGAAAAAAAGUAUUUAAUUUCUCUGAUUGUGUGGUUUGUAGGGGUUUUCCUAUUUGGCAUAGGCAAGUUUUGAUUUUUACUUUUCUUUUUUCUCACAGGGGGCUCUCGGAGAAGCAUGUAAUGGAGACACCACUUCUGUCAUUAUCUUUGGAAGUAUUUGAUGGUCGACUGGAUGAUCCUAUUAGCGUGUCCAUCCGAGGAGGUUUGUAUUCAUCUUUCCACUUUUUUGGGAAAAAUGUUUAGAAAUCAUAAAGAUGCUUUUGAAGAUAGGUAAGCAACAAUUUCUAAAAUUUUAGUGUAAUCUUUUUUCAUUAUGAAGUUCUUCUAAUGGUAAUUAGUGAUUUCAAACAAAUUCUGUGAAGUGAAAAGUGAAAUUUUGUAUGUUUAUCAUUCCAAUUUAUCUUUAUGCAGACUUUUUCUGUUGAAUGGAAAACAUACGUUUUUUUGUCUUUGUUUUUUUAUUUUUUAGUUUAUUGGUUGAUUCAUUUUAUGAUUGUUGAUAUGCAAGAUGCAAAGAUAAUUUCUUUGUUUCUAUAUAUUGUUACUAUAAGGGGUGGUUUGGGAGUGAGGUGCUUAAAAAAAAUGCACCCAUGAAAAAAAGUUGUUAGGGUUUUAGGUGUUUGGUAAACUAAAAAAAAAGGGCUUAUUUUGGAAGCUGUUGUGAGAAUAAGCUGAAAUCCAAAGGAAAAGCUGAAGCAUCUAUUUGCAGCUUUGGAAAACUGGUUUUUUUUUCAAAGCACACAAAGCUACAUUGCUCCUUUAAUGAAAAGACCCACUAUCAGACUGUUUUUUUUUUCCAAAAGCACUUUUACAAAAAAGUUUACCAAACACUCUGCUGAUUUAUUUCACAGCCGCUUAUUCUUACAGCACAGCUGCUUAUUCUCAUAACAGUUUUUUUUCAAAGCACAGCAAUACCAAAUCAGCCCUAAUUCUACCAAUAGAAACCGGUACUGUGAUUGUGGCAGUAAAUGAACCUAGUCAUUGUGGCAGUAGAUGAACCAUAACCAUGCCAGUUUGUAGCCUGCGAUUCUACUUGUGGUGGUUUAAUUUAGUUCUGUUUUCAGUUUCAGGAGAUCCUGAUUUUUCGUUCUUUGGGCCUUUGUUUGCAGCCUUCAAAGCCGUCUCUGCUCACGCCUUAUGAUUGUAGUGGUAAGCUUCCCUUUCAAAAAUUCCUUCCUUCCAGUAUUUAGGGAUUAUGAAGUGAUUUCUCUGCUUAAUAUGGGAUUAGGGUUACAUUUUUCUUAUAAUAAAAAUCUUUGUAUGCUACCCGGAAGCUUCCUUUUCAAAGAUUCUUUCUUUCCAGUAUUUAGGGAUUAUAAACUGAUUUCUCUGCUUAAUUUGUUCCAAAGUAUAAUGUAGAGAUUGCUUUAAUAUAUUGGCUUAUUGGCUGUAUGUCGAGUGUCUGAGAUAAGAUUUAGGAGAUCUAGUUUAGGUUUUGCAAAGAGAGAGAGAGAUAGGGGGUGUCCGAAAGAAAUGUGAGAGGGUUUAGGCGAGGGAUUUCAGGGAUUUGUUUAAGGUUCCUUUUCUGCAAUUUGCAGACAGAGAAAUGGGACAAGGGGGAUAGAGAGAUGUGAGGAUUUUCUGUGAGGGUAAAUGGGCAUUUCGUUUUCCAGUUGCUUCUUGAAACCCGAGAGAUUUCUACGAUUGUAGAGAGAGAUGGGGGUGUCCGUUAGGUGCCCUUUAAUUGUCACUUUUGUGAUUUGUCCAUCCUUGAUUGUUGUGUGAUUCAUUCUCAUGAAUGUUCUAUGCACAAGGUUUCAUAUUAUUCCUUCCUUUUGAUUUUGAUAUUGUUGUGCUUAAUUUCUGUUAUGUUUUAUUGGGUGAUUAGAUUAACAGACAUUGGAUAUUUUGGUACAAUAAUUUCACAUCAUGUGUUACCCUUUUGCAUCACCUUAAUUGUUCGUCACAUGCUAACUUUUAAUUAUGUUUUCUUUGGGUCAGUCUCUAUCUGGUAAAUUUGUCCAUCCUUCUGGAGUGGAGCACUAUCUUUCUGACAACAUAACUGCUCUGAGAAACUGCUAUGGAGACAAACAGUUGUUUACUCCGUUGUAGGUAUGUUUUUCUUAAGUAUUUUAGAAGGAUUCUUAACGCUUCCCCAUUAUAAUCUUAACCUUUGUAUCUAUCUCUCUCAAAAGACGAUGAGAGUAACAACUGUUGAAAAGCAAAUUCUCAAAUGUAUCUAAGCUUAUGCAUACAUUGGAUAAAAACUGAAUCUUAAAUUAGGGCAGUGAGUUUUGCAACAUCCUGGUGCUGCAUAUAUUGUCACACUUUUAAAAGUUGUAUAUCUCAGAUAUAUUGGGAAUUUAAUUAGUUUUAUGUCAUUUUCGUAGGGCAAUUUAGUAGAGAUUUAGCACAUAAAAGAAGAUGUGGGAAUCAGUACAAUUAACCUAAUAGUGAUUUGGUUCAAUGUAAAGACUACUGCUAGGGCACUCAAGUCAUUUUCUUAAUUUAUGCGCAUAUAUAUUAUACGUAACCAACACAUGUUUUCAAAUGAUGUUAGUGUUCAAGCUCUGCUGAUAUUUUAUUCUGUUCAUUUUGAUUUUGUUUUUCAGUUGUGGUUAUAGGAUUGUUUUGUCUAUUUUUUUUUCUUUUUUUUUUCCCCUAUGUACAACUUUUCUAAAAUUCAACUGUUCUCAAUUUGGUUAUUUGAACUGAGGCCUGUUAGGCUGUGCCUUUGGAAGGUCUCAUUGCUUUUAAAGUUGAAUGGUGCUAACUGAAUAUAAUGCGUUCAUUCUUCAGUGUGUGUGAGCGUAUGUGUAUGCAGUGUAUGUGAGUGCAUGCCGUGUGUGCAGUGUGUCACUUGGGCUGUUGGCUUUUUGAGGUAUGUUCAUUUAUAGAGAUUUUGUAACUGUAUUGUUGAAUUUUUAAUGUAUGCUUGGAUUUUAAAGGGGCACCAUAUUUAUGGGUUGUUGUACGAUUCUAGGGAGAUAUAGGGGAUUGAGAGGUCAUGCUAAGGAGAAUAUAUUACUUGCCACAAAGGAAUAUACUUCAUAUAAUAGCAAUGUGAUGAUGUGUGGCAUGCUUUAACUAAGGGAUAUUUUUGUGUAGUAAGAAAGCCAUAUAGAGUCACAUUUUUGUUUUUUCUUUUUUUUUUGGAUUUGGUAACUGAAAUUUUGUGUGAACUAAUGUUUCUUCUGUUUCUUAAGGAAACAUAACUUUUUUGGAAACCAUCUCUUUCUAAUCAAAGACGUUUAGUUUCUUCCCAUUCAUUGUACAAUGUAUUUAUAUGCCAGCUCACUUGAAUGUAUAUAAAAAAAACUAUUUGUUCAUAAUUGUGUUGAAUUUAUUCAACUUAAAUGUGUUUUAUUCAUCCGAUUACACCUGAAACAACAGGUUCCCGCAGCAACGCGCGGACAUAUUUUCUCGUCAAUUCUAAAGUUGGUGGGCAAUUGGCCUGUUCAUGGCUACAGUCAAGAAAAUGCCACUCGAUUUCACUCUACUUAAAAAAAGGCCAGCCAAAUUAGGCUGGGUUGGGAGGGUAAUUCUCAAAAAUUCAGAAGGUGAUUUUGUCUGUAUGGUUUAGCACGGAGCCACUCGAUUUCAUGCUAUUUACAACAAUACCAGCCGAAUGGAGCUGGAUUGGGAAUGUAAUUCUCAAAAGUUCCAGAGGGUAAUUUUGUUCGUUUGGUUUAGCACGGAUUGCUAGGUUACACGCGUGCGCUCCCUCUUCCUCUCUCUCCUACGUGAGCCCUCUCUCAUCUCUCACUUUUCCUGUUUCUGUCCUCCUCAAUCCCUAGCAGCCACAAUUCCAUCUCUUCCGUUUCUUUCAUCCCAAAACGGAAGAAAUAUGGAAAAUCAGGGUGUUCGUCACUGGAAUUUCCAAUGGGGAAGUUUCCUGGCCGACGAGCACACAGCUCCCCGAGAGGUUGGCGCCGGUUGAUACUUCCUGUCGGGCUUCUGCUUGUUGGGGGGCUUGUCGGGCAAGACUUGUCAGGCAAGGCUGAAAGAGAAAGACAAAGUUAACUCUGAAAAGUGCCUUUGUGGGGCCUUAGGUGUAGGCCUUGAGGCUCACAAUCAAAAUUAACUUUAGGUGCUCAGGCAUGCCACUGCCAUCUUUAGCAUGGUAGAUGUAAAACAUAUGUUGAGUUUAAUUAUAUUUGCCCGAGCCACCAAGUUUAGCUAUGAAAUGUGCCUUUUUAGGGCCUUAGGUAUAGGCCUUGAGGCUCGCAAUCAAAACCAACCAAGUACUCGAACAUAUAGAGGUUGUUUCAUUGUUGCAGAAGUAUUAUGACUGUUAUACUUUAAUCACCCGAGCCCGACGAACAGAAUGAACCCAAAUAGGUGCAUUUGUAGGGCCUUAGGUAUAGGCCUUGAGGCUUCCCAUCAGAAUUAAUUCAAUACUCAAACGUUCUAUGACAAUCAUAAUAUAACAGAGAUAAAACUAAGAAAUAGGUCGAUUACUUGCGCCCCAAGUAACUUCGGACUUUUUAUUAUCAAAAACUGUCGUGGAUGGGUUAAGUCCACAUAAGGUUCUUUUUUAUGCCUUGAGAUCAAGGACUUUUGAAUAAUUAAUCUUGUAUGCCUGAGAGGUUAGAACUUAGAUAUUCCAACUUAUCUUUUGCAUGGUUGGGCACUGUUAACCCGAUCGGAUUCAAGAACUGAGAAGUCUUUUAAUCAUAAACUUGCUAGAAAUAACUUGGAUACAAAUGGAAGUAUACAACAUAUUACUAGAUCUAUGAAUGAAAAAGACAGAACAAAGAGGGUCGUGCAAGGUUUCACCUUGUCGGGCAAGGCUGAUCGUCUUGCAACUUCCUAUCUUUUGUGAUUUACAAAGGGUUUGAGAGCUAAAAAAGGGAGAUUGGGAGAUGAUUUUACAGGAAAGAAUCGAUACUACAACAAGAUUUAGACAAGGUAGCAGAGCUUUUACAAAGGCUUUUAGUGAAGGUUGAUCCCGAAAGGGAUGAAGGCUUGAUGCUGACUACAACUUCGUUUGCAAAUCUAGCUUUGAGCAGAAUUUGUGUAUUUGUUUGUUUGUUUGAGUGUCCUUAUCUUUGAUUUCUCUUUCUUCUUUUAUAGACGAUUUGGCUUGGCCUCAUGUAACAUUUAAUCUUGUCCGAAUGUAACUUGAAGGGUAGUGACUCAUCAGCUAUUUACUUGUACUGUCAUUGUAAAGUACUUUUGGGUUGAUUAGCUGGCUGGUCUACACCACUUGACUUCUAGGUAGGUGAGCAAGUGGCUCAAAUGAUCUGCACUUAAUCGAAAAAGGGCAUUUUCUGCCUUCUGGGCUUCGGCUGAACUUCAGGUUUCUUUUCUUCUAGACCUUCUUUUGGGCUUAACUACAUUUUGAGCCCAAAGUUAAGUUUUAACCUGACAUAGGGCUCUUCCAUUUGCUUCCACGGAUUUCUCGAGCUCCAGAUUGCUAGCCUCCGUAUGAAGGUUCGUCUCUCUCUCUCACUUUUUUUUUUCAAUUCGUGAUCGAAUUUUCUUUCCAAGAAUGUUUGAUCUAUUGCCUUCGGAAAGAAUGCCCUGCAUUUUUCUGCCUUUUUCUUUUUAGUGAUUUUUUUUCCUGAUGAGAAUGCAAGUUUUGGAUUUAUUGAUCUUCGAUUCCGCCUCCCCUCUCCUCUACCUGACCCUCCUCUUCUCCCUCCUCCUCUUCCUCUCCUACUUCUUCUUUCUCACUCCCAAUUCCCUCUUCCUCCAGACCUCACUUUCCAUUUCCCCAAAAGUUCCUUCGGUUCUGCAUCAACACGCGGUUGCUCUCGGCAGUUGCCCAAAGUUUCGAAUUUUGAGCCCUGAUGAGAUCAAGAUUUCGGUCUGGAAUCAUACAGUUAACUCAUUCGUAGUGGGAGGUAUGUGGGUUUUCCCCUGUUUCUCAUCCUUUUGCUCUAAUUUGGGGCAAAACUGUAGAAUUCUAUGCAUCUCUGUGUGUGUCUUGGUGUAAUUUAUGUGUAGUCUAUCAAUUUUUGGUGGAGAUACUGAACAUUUCGGCUUUGUUUCUAUAGUUUGUAUUCUAGAUUUGCAAUUUAUAUGAUAUGUUGGUGAUUUGUUUGCUUUUCAUCCUUCCGGAGCAAUAACAUUACAAUUUCGAUUUUUGGCAUCGGAUAUCAUAGGAGUUUACUUACAUGAAUUUGUUUUUAGCAGUUGUUAAUUAGAAUUGGCUAAUUCUUUUACUAAGAAUUUUUUUUUACUCACUCUGUUGGUUCUUCUUCAUAUAAGUACAUAGAAAACGCAUCAAAGACUGAUUAGAAUUAGUUAGCUUAUGGGUGUGUUAACAUGUUUAAGUAGUAGUACUUAAACUCAAAAGAUGCUGGAGUGUUUCUUUCAUUAAUAAUUUGUAUUGAACUCAGCAUUUCAUAAGAGUCGAACCUGAGAGCUUUGUGGAAAGGAAUAAAACAAGAUCGUACCAUUUUAUGUAUGUUUGAUUACAUUGCUUAUAAUUAGUAAUAAUUACAUUUUAUGGACAUUGUAGCUUUCAUGGAGUUCCUUGCUCAAGCAUGUGUGAAGAGGCUAUUUUUUUUCCUUCUGGUUUGUUCACUGUUCAGUUGUGGUUCAGUUCUCCACCUUUUGGUUGGAGUACAACAGAUGCUUUUAAAUUAUUAAAUUAGGAGAGCUAAGAAGAUAUUUUGUGCUAAUUGCUAUUUGAUAACUCUGGUUUUCUCUUUUGGCUACCACCUUGCUCUCUCUCCAUUUCUCUUUUUCCUCCUGCUCUGCUGGUUUUUCUGUGUUACAACCUCUCUGCAAAAACCAGACUGUAUGUGUUUUGCAUGUAUUUGUUCAUGCUUCUAUUGUUUGUUGUUGUGGUGGUGACCCUGUGAAUGGAAUUCUCAGUUAUCUAUUCCUCUAGAAUUAUACAUGAUGCAUCUGAUUUUUGUUCAUCGACAGAUGAUGCCACAUGCUUGAGAUUUUUAUGCCAUCACUCUGUUGGUUCUUUUGUGAUUGUUAUUGAUUGUUUUAAAAUGUGUAUGAUGUGUGUGAUGCGCAAAUUAGAGCAGAGGUUUCUACAUGUGGUUUUAAAUUGAGCAGAGGCGAUAAUUUUUUUUAUUAGAGAAGGAAUCAUUGAGGUCACUUUAGAAAAUGGAUGGGUGUCUGGUUAUUUUGUCAUUUGAGUGGUGUAGCUUUGUUAUGAUCUCUGUUCCGGCACUGUGUGAUUAGUGUUAAUGGUUUUUCAACACUGUUUGUAACCUAUUAUUUUCGUUGUUGUCAUGUAACUUAGUGUUGAUGGCUGUGUUUGUGAUUUUCAGAAAUUUGGAUCGUUAGAGGGAGUCUUAGUAUCACCGUUCUGCGACGGAUUAAGUUUAUGUCACGGCCUCAAUACAUUUUAUGGGUGGAGAUGAGUGGUACAAUUUUUUGGUUUUAGCACAUUUUUGUGUUUGUUGGAAGGUCUCAAUUACUUUUUUUAGAUAAUCUAUGGUCUCAGAUGGAAGAGUUGAAUGCAAAACAGGUCAUGAUGACAAAUGAUACGUUCCCGUUAUUAGUUGCUUUUCUUUCGUGAAAUGUAAUUUUGUCGUAGAUUAAGUUUGUUGCACCAUCACAGAUUAAGUUCAUUGCACUGUCACAGAUUGAGUUCAUUGCACUGUUACAGAUUGAGGUACUUUUCCUGUGUCCGUUUGUUUGCGCUUUGAAUUCUUACUCUGAAUCUCAUUUUUGCAGUUUAGAUUGGACUAGCAUUGCAACAUUGUGAUCUACUCUUGCUGCUGCCUUUGAUCUUGGGGUUCGGAGCGAUUGCACUUGAAUCAAGGCUCUGGUAGUGAACUUUCUCAUUCUUCCCGAAGUGCUUUAAUAUGUGUUGUUGAUAACUGCGCUCUCUCAAUGAACCAGAAAUAUUUUUAGACAAAUCACAACUUCCAUAUUUAAGAAAAUGAGUGGCUUUUUAACAAUGCAUGAAUGUAGCUUACAUGUUCAGAAAAAUUCAUGGAUAUUUACAUUCAACCCGCAAGUAUCAUUAACUCAUAAAAAAUUAAGUUUAAUUCAUGGAUGUUUACAUUGAACCCACAAGAAUAUCAUAAAAAAUUAUGUUUUGUAUUUUCUUUAUCGCGUGUCGCUUCAAAUUUUUAUCUAAAACAUUGUCGAAAUGCUUAUUGGUUACUUUUUAUGUCCUUCUGUUCAUUCAUGAUUGUGUUGAAUUUACUUAGGUCCCGCCGCAACGCGCGGGCCUAUUUUCUAGUUUAAACUAAAGUAAAGAAAAGUUAGAAAACUGAUUAACAGGAAGAAAGGAAAAUACUUCAGACUUCGGACUCUUCACAGUUAGCGGUAAGAAGACGAAGCAACACAGACUCGACCUCCUUAUAAAUGUCAAAUCUGUUCUUCCAAUCUCUUAUUUUUGGAUCAGGUUCUCCGGUCUGCUAAAAGGCUCUUCGAUUUAUUCAAUUAGUCACUCAUGUGUUUGGACGACGGCGAUGUUGCUGCAGAGACAGUGAGUUGUGACAGAGCAGGAGAGUUUCAGGUACCAACUAGCUGCCCAACGCCCAUCUAGGCCGCCCAAGUACCUGCCUAGGCCGACCAACGACCGCCUAAUUCUUUUUCCGAUUUUUCUUUCGAUUUUGGUUAAAUCCCAACGGCUAACCAUCACCCAGCACCUAGGUGCCGCCUAGGUCGAUUUUUUAAAACACUGAUAUAUAUAUAUAUAUAUAUAUAUAUAUAUAUAUAUAUAUAUAGAUUUUUCCUCGCGUUACACUAUAAAAAAAUAAAAUAAAACAACAACAACAACAACAAUGCUAAGUUCUAGGUAAAUGACUCAAAAGAAUUAUAAGUAUGAGAUUGAGGUGGGUCCUGACACAAAGACUACUUCCCUGUCAUGUUCAUCUACCUAAAUUUGAAAUCUUUUUGUAGUGGCGUUUAAAAAUUCCCUCAGAGUGAGAGCUUUUCUCUUCUUGAGAGUUUCCCAUCUUAAAACUUCUUCCUUUCUUCAGAAAGGAUUUGACCAAACAAAAGAAAAGUGAUAUCUUUUCCACCAAGAAUUUAGAAUUAUUAUAAAGGAAUAGAUUCAUAUGUUGUCGUCAGACAAAUAAAAAUACGUUUUUCUUUUUAAUACAUCGAUAUUUUUACACUAAGAGAUCGAUAGCCACACAUAAUUGAUAACUUAAUUUGGUAUCGAAUUUGCCAUCCACGAAUUCGAACCUAAGAACUGUCACUUCCAAGUAAAAAGGAAUAUCAUUAAACUGUAGUACUGAGUAGCAUAAAAACACGAACGCGUAUUAUAUAUUAUUAAAUACAAAAGUCCAACCACAUGUCAAAUGUCGCUAGUUGCAAUAUAAUCUUCUAAGGUCAUAAUUGAUUAAAGUAUCAAAUGUGGCUGCUAAAAUGACUCAAAAGAAAUUAAAGUAUCAGCUCGAGGUGGGUCCUGACACAAAGACUACCUCCUUGUCCUUGAACAAGUUCGUCGACCUAAAAUUGAUAUCUUUUACACCAAGAAAUUAGAAUUAUUAUAAAGGAAUAUAUUCAUACGCUAUAGUCCGACUAAUAAAACACGUAUUAUAUAUUAUUACAAAUCAACGUGCAUUAACAAAGAAAUAUAAAAGGAAAUGCCGGAUUUGUCAACUUGAUGUCGAGAGCAGUGACAUAAUCGCCGUCCAAUUGGAAGAUUCUCGAAUCAAUAUGUACAAGAAAGGAAGAGAAGUUGAAUAUCUCCAUGUCCGGAGUCUUUGACGACUGCUUCUCCUCUGCAUUUUCUGUCUAUAAAUACUCAAUCUGCUAGUCUGCUUCUUCACCCACUAUUCACACUCACACUCACCGCUUUUUGUAACCUUAGAAACUUUGUUCAAAUCUGAUCAGCCUUCAAUGGCGGAUGAGGUGGUGUUGUUGGGUUUCUGGUCAAGCCCAUUUGGGAUAAGACUGAGGAUUGCUCUGGCUGAGAAGGGCAUUGUGUAUGAGUACAAAGAAGAGGAUAUUUGGAACAAGAGCCCACUGUUGCUGCAGAUGAACCCGGUUCACAAGAAGAUCCCGGUUCUCAUUCACAAUGGAAAACCGGUCUCCGAGUCCCUCAUUGCGCUUCAGUACAUUGACGAAGUUUGGAAUGAUAAGGCUCCACUCUUGCCCUCUGACUCUUACCUCAGAGCCCAGGCCAGGUUCUGGGCUGACUUCGUCGACAAGAAGGUGAUUUUUACUCAUUAAUUUACUUAUUUGCAGUAUUUUUGUUUUGCUUUGAAUAUUUUUGGUUUGAAACAAUUGAAAACAUGGGAAAUAGAUCAUCUGGUUAUAUUUUUUAUGUUUAAAUGUUGAGAGUAUCUGGCAUAAGUGCUUAAAACCACACACGUUGCUAAUUGGUUUUAGGUUAAAUGCUUACGGAUAUUUGAGCUGGUAAUUAAACAAUGUUGUUUCAGAAUUUUAAGAUUAAAAGUGUUUAGGGUGUAACGGUUUUACCAUUUAGGAUUUGUAUUAGAAGGAAAACUAAAUGGAAAUUAGAUCUCUGUUUAUGUUUUCAUGGUUAAUAUUACGCUCGCUUUUAAAACAUGGUUGAUUAAGGUUUCAUGUUACAGUUUCGGGUUUAAGGUUUAAGGUUUGUGAUGUAUAUUUGAAAGAUAUCAGCAGAAGAUCUGAACUUGCUCAAAACAAUGUAUAUUAAUUUCCCUGAAUUUUUGGGGAUGUGAAAUGCAGAUAUUUGAGUUUGGGAGGAAGCUUUGGGCAACCAAAGGAGAAGAACAAAAUGCAGCAAUAAAAGAAUUUCUCGACUUCAUUGGCGUGUUAGAAAGAGAGCUUGGAGACAAGCCUUUCUUUGGGGGGGACACCCUCGGAUUCGUGGACGUGACGCUUAUUUCAUACUAUAGCUGGUUUCUUGAGUAUGAGAAAUUUGGCAACUUUAGUGUUGAGGCAGAGCACCCAGAAUUUAUUGCCUGGGUUAAGAGGUGCAUGGAGAAGGAGAGCGUGUCCAAGUCACUUCCCGAGCAGGAAAAGGUCUACGAUUACGCAAUGUUUUUAAGGAAAAAGUUUGGAAUUGAGUAGAUUUUGGUCGAAGCCUGCAAGAAGCUAUUGAUGAUCAGUGUCAUUCCAACUUGUUUGGUCGUGUGGUUGUUCUGUCUUUCAAGAUUCAACCCGUUUUGGGUUGUUGAACUAGAAUAAAAGGGCACUUGACAAGCCUUGUACUGUAAGAGGCACUGUAUUGUGCCUCAGGUCGUAUGUUUAUUUUGCUUAUGUAGUCGGCUUAUCACACCUGUCAACUUGUUAUGUAAGGGAUCUAAAUCUACUUGAUCAAAUUUCUUAUUUUGUAACCACUUCAUAUCCAACAAUGGAUUAUUGGUUGCCACUAAUUGUGUUUAAUUAUGAGUCUAUCUCUCUUAUCAGGUAACAAAGACCAAAAUUUAUUGGCCAAUUCUUGUUUCAUAACCGUAUAGAAUCAACCAGUAAUAUCUUCUACAUAUACAUUUAUGUUCUUGUAAUUUGAUUCAUAAAUCAUUUUUGUCAAUAUAGUGCACAUCCGGUCAACAAGUGACUUGUCCGUACCUAUAUGAACCUACUUCAUGAGAUCCCCAUGCACAUAAGUUUAAGUUUAUGCAUUAAUUUGAUAUAAUCUUGGCCAAUUAGCCGCAAUAGACAUGUUGUGAUAUUUGGUUGCACUUUUGAUUACACUUCCUAAAAAUUGCUCUUUUGAUGAAUUUUGCCUGUGAAAAGUUCAUAGUGCCCUUCAUUAAUAAAAAAGGGUGCGACAAUAUAGACACCCAACUUCCAACGACACCCCCCACCCCUCCUUCGUUUUUGAUGAUUAACUACCACUUAGACAACACCACAACGAUACCACAACUACACUCUAAUAAUUUAAAAAAAAGAAAAAUUAAUGAAAAAGACUUGAAAACUUUGCGUUUUAACGAUAAGGACAAAAUAAAGGGUAAAGUGAAUAGUACCAAGAUUGACUUUUUAAUGUUAAAAUGUGGUUUUUCGUUAAAGUGAACAGUACCGGGAGCUUUUCGUUAAAGUUCCCUUAAAAAAAAACGACCAAAAACUCAUUUUCAAAGAACCUCAUUUAACCAAAAAGGACUUACAUUUCGAUUUGAUUUAAACCAAAAGCCUCAUGAUUUAGAACAACCACUGCAACAACAAUAAUCUGAGAAGCUACAAACUCCAACGAUACUCCUCAUUUUAUGAUUUUAAACCCAGCACAACCAUAACAACAAUCUAAUGACACCACAACGCUGCUCCUACUUUUAUGAUUUUGAACCAACACAAUCACAACAACAAUCUAAUGAUGUCCAAAUGAUACACCCCCGUUUUUAUUUUAUUUUGAACAACCUCAGCCGCAAUAAUUCAUUGAAGGAACCCUCACCUUCUUCAUUCCCCAACCACCAAAACCAAAUUUCAAAUCCAAAAAUCGAAUAAUGAGCUAAAGCAAGAUGAGAGACAGAGAGACAGAGAGAGAAGAAGAAGAAGAAUGGAUCAGAGAGGUGGAGUAAUAAGAAGCUUACCUACUUCCAUGGUGUCCUAGAUGUUAUUCGCCGCUCCAAAUUUGAUUAGUCAAAGAGGAGCAACCAAAGAAGGGAUUUGACGGUGUUGUUGGGUGUUGCUGGUUUUUUUUUUAUCAAUGAAGGGCAGUAUGGGCUUUUCACAUGCAAAAUUGAUCAAAAGAGCGAUUUUUAAAAAGUGUGAUAAAAAGUUCAACCACAUAUCAAAACUUGUCUAAUGUGCCUAAUUGCAAUAUAAUCUUCUAAGGUCAUAAUUGAAUCUAACCUCUUAACAAAACCACUAAAGCUAGUGAUGGUAACUCAUAAGUUAUAUUGGCCAAUACAUUGUCCGACGACUUAUUACUAUAAAAGCAGUUAAGCAUGAUAGUAACUGACACGCCCCGAUCCUGAUGUCCGAGGGACAUUGGGAUGGCCACGUGCUGGACGACACUCGAGGAUGACGAAAGCCAUUUAAUGAAUGCAUGUGCUAAGAACAUGUAAAACAUGUGUAUAAAUUUUGUGCGUGACUACGCAAGUAAUACUCAAAUAUACGUUUUACAAAAUACCAUAAUAAUAUUCAACUACCAACAAUGAAUAUAAUGCUAAUGUUUGACAUGUCCAGAGAAUACAUCUAAUUCAGAGUACAAGCGACAGAUAAAAUAGAGAGGUGCUAUUACAAUAGAAGUCAAAGCAAAGGGAAUGACGCAGUAUCACUGGUAUGGGAAUGCCUCGUACGUUACGUUAGAUCGUAUUCCUCGUUCCUAUGUCCUGAGGGGGCGUAAAACAAACAUGAGUGGACCAAGUUGAUAUAUAUAUAUAUAUAUAUAAUAAAACAGUUAUUCAACAUAUUAACUCCCAAAGUUUUAUGAAAACUAAUAGCAUAAUAGGUGAUAGAUUUGCCGAAAACCCUAGCAUGCCAUAAAACCUUUCAUAAAACAUAUAUCGUAGAUAGUGUGAUAACUAGUGGUAUCAGUAUCACCCGAAGGCAUAUAGAACUUUUCCUUCAUAACACUUCAUUCACAAGUAUUAAUCGCCUGUAGGCUCUUACAGCACCCAACUUGAAGGUCAAUAUAAGUAUCAAUUGCCCGUAGGCUCCUACAGCACCUAACCCAAAGGUCAAUAUAAGUAUCAUCGCCCGUAGGCAGGACCUAACCCAAAGGUCAAUAUAAGUAUCAUCACCCAAAGGUCAAUAUACUCUUUCCAAACAUAGGUACAUAUAUCUCAAAAUCAUCUUCAUAGUAUAAAGUCAUGCGUCAUCUAUACUAUAAAGAAGUGUGUAAAAGCAUGUUCUAAAUAGUAUAUAGUCAUCCAUCAUAUCUACUACAAAGAACAUCAGUUCGACAGAAUAUGAUAUUCCAAAAUAUUCGCAGUAAGCAUAAUAUCUCAUAAAACGUAAUCAUUAAACCAUGUUUUUCAUGUAACGACCCGCCCCUAAAAAUUAUAGUUUUUAUAAUUUUAAAAUGUGAAUAUACAAAAAUGCCUUUCGAGGCAAAUAUGUUGACUUUUGUUGCCACUUUGUUGUGUCAAGUAAGAAUCAUUUUCUUGGUGUAUUUGGAUAGUACUCGUCGCUACGAAUGCGAAGGCAUAAACGGAACAUGAUUUGAAGUUAUAACGAAGAAGUUAUGGGCGAGUAAAAAUAGGGACAAAAUAGUCAUUUAAAUAUUUUUUGAAAGGCUCUAGAUUUUGGAGAAAAAUCUGGAAAGCCACAUGUGUGGCCCAGAUUGAAAGAAAUGAGAAACAGAUGGAUGGAAGAGAAAAUAAAUGAGAGAAAAGAGGGAGGGUGAGGACCAAUCAGGAGAAGGGAGAGGGUGAGUGACCAAUUAGAGAGGAGAGAAAGGAAGGGAAAGGAGAAAGAGGAGGAGCACCAGAUCACCCUUGACCCGGUUCCUCCCCGUCGACCCAACCCGAUUUCUACACACCCCGAUGCCAAUUCUGGCAUUUUCCUGGCAAAUUGACCGUCGCCACCACCUACACACGAGUACACAACACUUCUUUUUCAACUUCCAUCCCAAGCCCAAUGGUUUUUGGUCUUGUUUUCGUGGAGAUGGCAUUGGCGGCACCGUGGGGGGAGAUCGGUAGAAAUCUGCCAUUUCUGAAGGUAAACCCUGCGACUACUAUCACCAUUAGCCUUUCCUUGAACCCAGGAACAAUUUCCAAUCAUUGGUUAGAGCAUCGGAGUCAAUUUGAGGACGAAUUAAGAAACACCCUUUAUAGGGUUUCCGACCUGUUUUAGUGAAAUUGGGGCUUUUCCCGGCCAAAUUGGCCUUAGUCACAUGUAUGAAAGUUGCUCCAUUCAUCGAGAUCUUCAUUUCUAUAAAAUUUUGGAAUUUUUGGAGUUGUUUGAUUCUCCGGCGAGUCGGGGCGGGUGGCCACCACAUGUGGCGGCGCGUGGAGGAAAAACCUGAGGUUCCUCGAUGUGCCGAAUCCGAAUCCGCCAUCCGUUUUCCCAAAUUCUAACAUUUAAGUAAAGUUUUAGUAAAAGGUCCUUAAUUGUGUUUAGACGCGUUGAUGGGAAACAACGUCAUUCUCAAUAGUUCGAGCGGCUUUCGGGCGAUGGAAAACUUGUGAGUGGACCCCUUAUUAACUAUAUAUUUUUAUAAAUUAUUAACCUAGCAUGCAUUUCAUAUUUCAUGCUUUGAAUAUGCUUUAUAUUAUGUUUUUUGGGAUUUUCUAUAAUUAUGGUUUAUAUAGAAUUCAUGAUUUAAUUGCUUUACGGAAUAUUUAUAAUUUAUCGAAUUUAUGUUUAAUAGUGGUGAUGAAUUAUUGGUUUUGGAUAUAUGAAACCCUUGGUUUUACGAAUAUGUUUUAUAUACGAUUUAUGCGACGAGAUUUUGGUACUUACCUAAUGGGUUAUCAUACGGCACAUCCGCACAUCACGGGCAUUAUGUCUAUGGCCAUAGGUCACAAAUGAUGGAGGAGUGAGAUAUGAUAUAUUAUAUACCCCCAGCUUCACCACCGAAAGCAGUGUCGGACUGCUUCACUAGCCACGGCUAGUGUCGGUGUGGAUGUAUGCUAUUUUAUACAGCAUCACCUUCGGGUGAUGGACAUGUUAUACAACUUCACCUUUGGGUGAUGAACAUAUUCUUCAGCUUCACCUUCGAGUGACGGACAAGUACUGCCUUCGGGCGACUAUGAUACCCCUCGUUGAGUAAAACAUGAAUAUGAUUUACGAUGUUUCACAAAUGUUUUACACUACAUGCUAGGGUUUUUCAUAAAACCUACUAUGUAGAAUUAUAUAUUUGUUUUCAAAACAGGGGGUUAUUAUGUUCAAAAAUAAAAUAUUUUCCUAUUAUUAGUAUUAUUAUUAUAAACUCUGGUCCACUCACCUUUUUUGUUUUGCGUCCCCUUUAGGAUUUAAAUUCGAGGCACAUAAUCCCGACGUCAGGACACUUCUACAUAUGUAUUCUAGAGUCUUCUCAGUAUAGGUAUCAUUCAUUUGUUCGUAUAUUUUCCUAGUAAUUCUUCCAUAUUAUUCUUAGUAGUUGUAUGCUCUGAACACGUUCUUGCCAUGAUAUUUUACGUUUUAAUUGCAUAUCUUUUACUUAAAUACAUGUUUAAAAUGGCUUCGUCACCCUCAGGUGUCGACCAUCACGUGUCUACCCUGAUAUUUAGGGAUAUCGGGGUUGGGGCGUGUCAUUUCAUGUAUGCAUUGUACUAUUAAAACAUGCAUUUUAGAAGGGGUCCACUCACAGAUACUCCAUCAUCGAAGAGCCGUAAGAAAUAGGAAUGACGAAAUCGCUGCUAAUAAUUGCACCUAAGCACAUAAAGGGUACAAUUAAUAAAACUAUACUCAAACGAUUGAAUUUCGAAAAAUGGAAGUCAUAAACGAAUUCAAGAUGUCGAAAAACAUAAAAAGGGACCUCAGGUACCCCCACACACCAUCACACGCCUCCGCAAGGUGGUAGCUCCGGCACUCAUGCACCGCCGUGGGUCGCCGAAAAAUUCGUCGACUAGACUGUGGCUCCACGCGUCGGCACCAGUGCCCCUUCAUGCGCAGGCCCACGCGCCUUCACGCGCAGCCUGGGGUUCCUGGGUUCUCUGGUUUUGGGCCUGGGCUUUGAGCUUGAGCCGAAGGGUUUCUGGGCUUAAAUGGUUGGGCCUCACGGGCCUAGGGUCAACAAGUCAAAGGCCCAAGUUGCUCAGCUUAAGGGCCUGGGGUCCAAGGUUUUCAGAAGGGUUGGGGUCUUGGGGUUAACGGGCAGGAGGCCCAAGUUCCACUCGGUCCCAAGGUCGGUUCUUUGGGGUUUUUGGGUUAGGGUUUCAAGGGAAUUCGGCUCAGAUGCAACGACCCAAAGGCCCAAAUCUACAUGGCCUUAUGGGCCUGGGUUUGGUGGGUUAAAGGGUUGGGCUUUAAGGCCAGGCCCAAGGCUCUGGGCUAAAGGACCUAGGCUUGGGGUUUUGGGUCUAGCCGACCUAAAAGCCUGGUUUCGACGGAAAAAGGAAGCUGGAGCUUCCCAAGCUCCAAUCGGCCUCAAUCUUCUACUCUAGCAUGCAAUCUACCUAUCAAAUUGAAGCUUAGGAGAAGAGGAAGAGAUUCAUACCUUUGGCACAAUGAAUGGUGGCCGAAGUUGGUCGAAAUCUGUGUUCGAAGGUCAUGGGCUCGUCAAGGAGUUUUUGGGUAGACUAUGGGUGUCCCGUGCUUCACAAAGAUGAGGGAGAGGGAGAGGGAGAAGGAGUCCACGAUGGUGGUGGUGGUGUCGACGUUGAGGAUGUUUUGGGGUGUGUGGGUGUUUGUGUGUCUCACCGGAGAGAAGAGGGAGGGUGAAUUGUGAGAGAGAUCCGAGAGUGAGAUAGAUAGUGGAAGUGAGUGAAAGAGCUCGGGGAGAAGAGAGAGAAGGAGGUAGUGGGUGAGUACUUGCCAUGUGACAAGCAGAGAGAGGUGGAGAAGUUUAGAAAAUCUGAAAAUGAGGAUUUUGAUUGGGUGAGGAUAGGGGACUAAAAUGUAAAUUUCAAAAAAUCUUUAGGGAAAUUGUGAAAUUUACAAUAAUUUGGGGGUGGGGUUUAACAAUAACCCAUAUUGCUAGAUAACUUUAUUCUUAUAGUCAAGGUCAUAUCUACUCCUUGUCGAGGCUUCUUACCGAACUCGACUUCCUCAUGCUAUUAAUUGUCCACACUUUCGUUAUUAUUAUGGUGUGACUGUUCUCACUUACUUUUACUGGGUUAGAGACCUAUGAAUUGAUUGGUGAAUAUAAUUUAAAUGUGUGUUUUCACCAAUGUAAUAUAUAUAUAUAUAUAUAUAUAUAUAUAUAUAUAUAGAGAGAGAGAGAGAGAGAAAGAAAGAAAGAGAGAGAGAAAGAGAAAGAGAGAGAGAGUUUUUCUAGCGUUACACUUAAAAUUCAAAUAAAAAAAAUAAAAAACAAUGCUGAGUUCUAGGUAAAAUGACUCAAAAGAAUUAAAGUAUGAGAUCUAGGUGGGUCCUGACACAAAGACUACUUCCCUGUCAUGUUCGUCUACCUAAAAUUGAUAUCUUUUCGUAAUGGCAUUUAAAAACUCUCUCCGAGUGUGAGAGCUUUUCUCUUUUCUUGAGAGUCUUUCCCACCUUUAGUGUGUGUAGCUUCCAACUCGUCGAUUUUGUUGUCACCGACCCUCUCUGAGGUGAGGGUUGGUGGUUGCUCUGGCCGUUUUCUUUCUCCUUUCUCCUUUCGUUCCUUUUGCUUCCUCUCUCCCCAUAUUUCCUCCCCGUUUUAUCCAGUCUGGUAUACCUUUUGGGCGUCCAUCUUCUUCGCUUCCGUUCCGGUCUGCUAUCAGGUUUCAACCCAUUUUGUUGCACUCUUCCGAGAAGGUGUGUCAAGUUACGGUUACGCCGGCUCAAGUGUUUACAACACCACCUCUUUCUUUUUGUCUGCCUUUGUUGGCAGUGUUAUCCAUGGUAUUCCCAUGGGCUUCUUUCGUUUUUUGGCUGGGACCGGUGAAUCGUUCGUGGUUGGGAGAUAAGAUAUCUCUUUGUUUCAUCUCUACGGUGUUGCUUGGUGGAAGAUGUGGUGUCGAUUUGGGUAAUUGGUUUUGGAUGAUUGGGAAGCACUGUUGCAGCAGUGGAAGCAAACUGGAAUGUUCCGGAGCUCUGUAUCAGAAUGUAGGCUUUGGGUUGGGCUUUUGUAAGAUAGUUCGGGUACCCCUUUUUGUAUUGUUAAUAUUUGUUUGUGGGAAUUUGUCUUGUAAUUAACUUUUAUAAUAAAACAUCUUCCUUUCUUCGGAAAGGAUUUGACAAAAAAAAAAAAGAAAAUUGAUAUCUUUUCCACCAAGAAUUUAGAAUUAUUAUAAAGGAAUAGAUUCAUAUGCUGUCAAACAAAUAAAAAUACGUUUUUUUUUUUAAUACAUCGAUACUUUUUGUACUAAGAGAUUGAUAGUCACACAAUAGGCAACUUAAUUUGAUAUUGAAUUUGUCAUCCAUGUGAUUCAAACCUAAAACAUGUCACUUCCAAGUGAAGAGGAAUACACCAGACCGUAGUACUGAGUCACAUAAAAACACGAACACGUAUUAUAUAUUAUUAAAUACAAAAGGAAAAAUGCCGGAUUUGAUGUCGAAGGCAGUCACAUAAUCGCCAUCCAGUUGGAAGAUUCCGGAAUAUAUACGUACAAAAAAUAGGAAGAGAAGUAGAAUCUUUUCAUGUCCGGAGUCUUUGAUGAUUGCUUCCCCUUCGAUUUUGUCUAUAAAUAAACAAUCUGCUCGUCUGCUUAUACACCCACUACUCACUCAGAGUCUCCGCUUUUUUGUAACCUUAGAAACUUUGUUCAAAUCUGAUCAACCUUCAAUGGCGGAUGAGGUGGUGUUGUUGGAUUUCUGGCCAAGCCCAUUUGGGAUGAGACUGAGGAUUGCUCUGGCUGAGAAGGGCAUCGAGUAUGAGUACAAAGAUGAGGACUUGUGGAACAAGAGCCCACUGUUGCUGCAGAUGAACCCGGUUCUCAUUCACAAUGGAAAACCGGUUUCUGAGUCCCUCAUUGCGCUUCAGUACAUUGGUUUGGAAUGACUCCACUCUUGCCCUCUGACUCUUACCUCAGAGCCCAGGCCAGGUUCUGGGCUGACUACGUCCACAUGAAGGUGAUUUUUACUCAUUAAUUUACUUAUUUGUACUAUUUUAAUUUGUUUUGAAUAU